UUUUCCCAACAGAUCAGUGUACUCCUGGAAAGGUGACUUUGUGAAGCGGGUUUCCCUCCAGAAGUCAGGAGUCAAGAACCCAUAGGUCCUAAGAAGGCAAUCAAAAGUGGCCUGCAUUGGACACGGAAUGUGGGUCGAUUACAUCAAAAGAGAACGACAACAAAAGAACAAUAAAAUUAAACUAUAAAGAAGCAACCCAUCAAGUAAUCCAUCAUAAAAAAAGCAAGAGCAUUUAGUUCUACUUAUUACUACUAGCAGGUGUUUAGGGACAGCCAACUCAAACCAUUGUCGCAUCUCAUUUAACUAUAUCAUAUUAUAAGCUACUAAUGAACUAUGGUGGAAUGGAAGAAAAGAAAUGGUAAAAAAGAAAAUUUUCAUCUUAAAUAAAAUAAAGCAGACGUGAUUUUUGGGCAUCUUGUACUUUCACGAUCAUAUGCAAAUAAGCAAAGCAUCAGUAAAUGAUGAUGACUGUCAUUAGAUCAAACCAACAAAAUAAAGAAUUCAGGAACAAUCCAAUCAUAAUAGAAACAGUGAGCAGAUGCAUGACAAGUCUUAAGAAAUUCGUUACAUUCAACUAGCAAACAAGAAAUCAUGAAAUUUUUUUUUUGUGUGUGUGUGUGUGGAAUCUUCAGAAAUUCAUUGCAGCCAUUAGCGUAAUAGGACCACAAACCUGACAAUAUAGUCUAACACAAAGAGAGAUUAAACAAAAGAACUUGUGGAAUCGCAAUAAAGCCCAACAAUGAGAAACAAAUAUACAUAACAAUAUAGUCUAAGAAAUAAUAUUUCAGCUCCUAAACAAAAUCAACAAUAUGAGACAUCUAGAAUAAAAAUAAACCAAACAUAACAAACUAUAGAAAAUGUAGCUUCAAUGCUCUUAUAUAAACAAUUAGCUUCCCAUAUAACAGUAUAAGAAAACAUAAGAGAAGAAUAAAAAGAACAGACCUUCACGAAAUUUCCAAGAGUCUUGGUAGAGCCCCUGGAUGAGGUGAACACAUCCUCAAUUCCAGCAAACUGCAAAACCUUCUUGGGGACUCGAGCAGCGACAAUCCCAGCACCACGUGGAGCAGGCCCCAUUCUCACUGUAACGGAUCCACACUUGCCAGUCUCCUUGCAAGGCACUGUAUGUGGCUUUCCGAUCUUGUUACCCCAAUAGCCUCUCCUCACUGGUAUCACAGACAGUUUGGCUAAAAUGAUUGCGCCACGAAUGGCAGUAGCAACCUCCUUCGAACACUUGACUCCCAAUCCGACGUGGCCAUUUCCGUCGCCAACGACCACAAAGGCCUUGAACCUUGUUCGCUGACCCGCACGGGUUUGUUUCUGCACGGGAGUGAUCUUCAUGACCUCAUCCUUGAGGGAUGGACCGAUGAGAGUGUCGACGAUCUGGUGCUCUUUGAUUGGGAGAGAAUGAAGGUAUAUCUGCUCUAAGCUUCUGAUCUUGCCUUCUUUAACCAAACGUCCGAGUUUAGUAACUGGCACCCACUUCUCCUCCUCAUCACGGCGAGCACGACGUCGGCCUCUUCCUCCGCGGUCACCACGAGGGGCACCGCCGAAGCCUCGGCGAAAGGCACCUCUUUCUCCUCCAGCUCCUCUUUCCGCCAUGGUUUUAGCUAAGGGGGGUUAGGGUUGAGAGAAAGAGAAACGAGUAUAGGUCUUCAAGAGAAGAAGCAAAUUGGUGGUGUAUCUAAGGGAAAGUAGAUACGGCGGGGUUAAGAGUUAUAUAUUGCUAGGGUUUUGCAGAUGCGAACGUAGUCUGCAGAACUUAGAAGGGUAAUGGGCUGGGCUAAGAUCACAUAAUUUUAAAUGGGCUGUCUCUGCGGGUCCAACGCUGCUAGAAGUCAAUAGCUACUAUCUUUUCUGCUUGAAGAAUUGGGCCCUGCUUGAAUUCAUCUGAGCUCCUCUCUUUAGAUAUUGAUCUAGUGAUAUUAACUUCCCUGGACUGUUUUUUUCUCUCUUUUUCAUAGGGUGAUAAUACAGGCAUUCGAAUGAACUUUUUGACGAAUUUAUUCAAUUUACUUCAAACAUAAAGUAUUAUGUUCGGUAUUAAUUCUACAUAUCCAGAUAGCCCAGGUUGAUCCAAAGCAGAAAUCACUUUUAUAUUAAUUAAAAUUGUUGGUCAAUCAACAAAAUCGAAUCGAUAAGUUGCAUAUAUAUGUGUAUAACUUUAACUAAAGAAUUAUUUGAGAAGUUACACUGAUAUAGUGACAUAUAGCGGCGAUGAAACUGCGGGUGACUGAUAGAAAAUGGCUAUUCUACGAUUAAAAAAAAAAAAAGUCCAUUGGAAUGAACAAAAAUCUCUUCUGAUAUGGAGUGAGUAUCAAGUCAUAAUGAGCUUCACUUACCCCCAAAACAAAAGAGAGAAUCAUGGAUUUCUAACUUCUGCCUCGAGACUUGGAUAAACAAGUAACAAAAAAAAAUGAAGUGAAAACUGAGAUGCUAAGAAAACUUAGGAAAGCAAACAAAUCCAUUUCCACCUUCGUCAAAACAAAACAAAUACUAGAUCCCGAAAAAUCAAACAAAACCGUUAAAAGAAAAAGAUAGCGUGCUUAAAGUCUUAAGAACUAUGGGGUAAUUAACAUGAAUUGUUCAUCCCUAUAUUUUCUCAUAUUUGAGAACUCAGUCUCAUUUGUCUGCGUCAAGCUUCAACCCUCUCCACUUCUUCAAUCAGGACUUUUGUAGGUUUUCCCAACAGAUCAGUGUACUCCUGGAAAGGAGACUUUGUAAAGCGGGUUUCCCUCCAGAAGUCAGGAGUCAAGAACCCGUAGGUCCUAAGAAGGCAAUCAAAGGUGGCCUGCAUUGGACAUGGAAAGUGCAUAGAUUCAAUCAAAAGAGAAUGACAACAAAAAACAAUAUAAUUGAACUAUAAAGAAGCAUCUCAUCAAGUAAUUCAUCAUUGUGAAGAGAAUACCUAGUCCAUAAUUCAAAAGCAUGAGCAUUUUUUAGACACUGGCAGAAAGAAAUCAUUACUUCUUUCAUAAGAAGGCUAAUAGUAUCUAUUUCUCAACAGCACCAGUAAUGGAAAUCCAUAACUAUAUGGUAAACAAAAGCAUUCCGUUCAACUUCCUAAUACCUGGCAGGUGUUCGUGGAAAACCAACUCAAUUCGUAGUGGCAUUUCUUCCAAAUAAAUAAUAUUACAAGCUAUUAAUAACUUAUGGAAAAAUGGAAAGAAGAAUUUUCAUCUUAAAUAGGGCUGAAAUGAUGUUAAGUAGCUUCUACUUUCAGAUUCAUGCACAAAUCUACAAAUUAAGGAAUAUUCUAUUACAUUCAACUAGCAAACAAGAAACAAUUAAAUUCUGAUUUUUAGGAAUUUCCAGAAAUUCAUUGCAAGCCAUUAAACUAAUGGGAACACAAACCGAUAAUAAAAAGAAAACACGAACUUGUGGAAUGACAAUCAAUCAGAAGACACGUGUAUUUAGACCCACUUAAAAGCCAAUAAACUUAAGCUUAGCUAUGCUAAUUCGAAGAAAUUCUAAUAUUGUAGAAAUACAACUUUCAAACGAUAAACUGUCCAAAGUUUAUGUAAGACUUAGAAAUUACAAUAUAGUCUAAGAAAUAAGAAACAGAUAUAAAUAUCCAUAUAGUCUAAGAAAUAACAAUUCUGCUCCUUUUCCUCUCAUAUUGAUUGAUCAUGCAAGAUAUAAUGCUAAACAAAAUAAGCAUUACGAGACAACUAAAAUAAAAAUAAAAAUCAACCCAAGAUAUCAAACUAGAGAAAAUGUAGCUGCACAACACUUAUAUAUACAAUUAGCUUCGCACAUAACAGUAUAAGAAAACAAAAGAGAAGAAUAAAAAGAACAAACCUUCACAAAGUUUCCAAGUGUCUUAGUAGAGCCCCUGGAUGAGGUGAACACAUCCUCAAUUCCAGCAAACUGCAAAACCUUCUUAGGGACUCGAGCAGCGACAAUCCCAGCACCACGUGGAGCAGGCACCAUUCUCACUGUAACGGAUCCACACUUGCCAGUCACCUUGCAAGGCACUGUAUGUGGCUUUCCGAUCUUGUUACCCCAGUAGCCUCUCCUCACCGGUAUGACGGACAGCUUGGCUAAAAUGAUUGCGCCACGAAUGGCAGUAGCAACCUCCUUCGAACACUUGACUCCUAAUCCGACGUGGCCAUUUCCGUCUCCGACGACCACAAAGGCCUUGAACCUUGUUCUCUGACCCGCACGGGUUUGUUUCUGGACAGGGGUGAUCUUCAUGACCUCAUCCUUGAGGGAUGGACCGAUGAGAGUGUCGACGAUCUGGUGUUCUUUGAUUGGGAGAGAAUGAAGGUAUAUCUGCUCUAAGCUUCUGAUCUUGCCUUCUUUAACCAAACGGCCGAGUUUGGUAACUGGUACCCACUUCUCCUCCUCGUCGCGGCGAGCACGACGGCGGCCUCUGCCUCCCCGGUCACCACGAGGGGCACCGCCGAAGCCUCGGCGAAAGGCACCUCUUUCUCCUCCAGCUCCUCUUUCCGCCAUGAUUUUACCUAAGGGGAUUAGGGUUGAUUGAAAGAGAAACGAGAAUGGGCUUCAAGAGAAAAGAAGCAGAAUGGUAGCGCAGUGAAGGAAAGACGGUUACGGCGGGGAUAAGAUUUUAUGCAGUGCUAGGGUUUUUGAGAUGGGAACCGCAGUCCUGAAAACUAGAAUGAUGAUGGGCCGGGCUAAGAUCACCUAAUUUUAAUGGGCCUAUUCUGUCGAGUCCAACACUGUUUGGAGACAACAGCUACUAGUACUAUCUCUUCUGGCUUGAAUAAGAAUUGGGCCAUGCUUGAAUUGAUCUGAGCUUUCGUAUUUAGAUCUUGGUGUAGUGAUGAUAACAUUAUUGGGCUUUUGUUUCAACAAACUUUCUUGUAGGCUUUUAUUUUUGAUUAUUUGGUGUAUGGGUUGGUAUAAGAGAAACUGGGCUAGGUAACCAAGGAUGGAAACCAGAUAUUCGUUGGACUGUUGUUACGGGCCUACAUCUUUUUUGUUUUUUUAUUUUUUUAUUUUUCUGAUUUCUCUGCUCAAAUAGGCUCUCCAUUGACGUGGAGCUGAGUUGUCGUCCACCAACAUCCGGCGGGGAACACGCCGGCUGUUUUUUAUCCUUACAAAAAACUUUGUAGUAUUAUUUCUACAGUCACUCACCACCAAUGUAGUAAAGUUUCAUUAAACUGUUUGUGCAAAUUAUAGGCGCUGAAAUUUAUGACAUGAACUCAAUAACUUGUAAAAGUUUUGAAUUUUGAAGGAAAAUAAAAAUGGAUUCAAAUAAUCUGAAACAAAACAAAAAGUAAUUUGAGUAUUAUAAGUCGGAGGCAAACCCUGCAUAAAUCAGAAUUAAACAGUUUUCUUUUUUUAGAAUUAAACCCAUUUCGGAUUUGCAUUGGCCGGAGCUAAUGAAGAAAGUGGACAAUAACAUAAGUUCCGAUGUAUAGGACAAAAAUCGUCCUUUACUUAGAAUUUAAAAAUAAAAAGACAUUGACUUGGCCACUUGGGUGUUUUAGAAUUGCAAAUAUACACAGUGUCUAUCUGUCGUAUUCUAUCCAAAUAAACAUUAAGUACAGACAAAUUACAUCUUAGAAUUGGUGCAGGUAAUAAACUAUGCUUAACUUAUUGGAACUCUAAACCAGUCUUAUUGGUUUGGUUUGAGCUGAAUAUUACCCAAAAGCAAAUCAAAUACUACUUGAGUUCAAAUCAAACUCGAUUGUCGGCCCUAUAACGGUAAAAUUUGAGUAGGUUUAUGUUUAAAUAUCUCAGCAACUUGUUGUACUCAUUCAAUCUUUUUUUUUUUUUUUUAAUUUCUCAAAAUCUUGGUAUUUUUAUUAACUAUUCUUUCAAGAAAAUGGUUAAAUUUGAACAUAAACUAAUUAAAUCAGGUUUUAAAAAAAUUUCUAAUUCGAGCGUUUUGCAAUAUUCGAAUCGGAUGUCAUCGAGGUUAGUGGGUUUUCAAAUACUGUUAUUAUAGACAAAAAAAAAAUUAAUUAACAAAAUUUUAAGUCAAUUUAUAUAUGAAAUUGGAGAAGUAAGUUCAAGUUUAAGAAAAUAUGAGUUUACAAAAUUAGCAAGUGGUCCUUGUUUCCACGAAAAACAAAAAUGGUGCAUGUCUCUCUCCGGUGGCAAAGGCCAAAGAAUAGAGCUUGUUAGGGUUUGGGUUUCUUUAGUUUGAAAACGAUAAACAAUUAGAGACGGGAAAAUCGAAAAGAAUCAGAAUUCAGAGGCAGAGCAAAAGAAGGCUGAGGAAUGAGAUUGUCAGUGUUGAAAAUGAUCAAUCAGCAAAACCACUUAUAAAUUACUACACAACACUCUUAUUGUUAUUAUUAAACAAUUUUCACUUUUCCUUUAACGCCACGCAGUUCCCCUCUUUAUUGCUUAAUCAUCUUCUUAAUCCACGUUUUAAAUUAAAACACUUCAAAAAAAAAAAAACAAUUUGUUAAACAUAAAUACUCAACUCAGUCCCUCAGUAUUUACUAAAUGUUCAAUUUUGCCAAUUUUUAAGAUAUAAACUUUAAAUUUCAGAUGGAUUUUAUCUUAUUUCCUGUAAAAAAAAAUAUUAGGAUACUAAGUUUUCUAAUUUUUGAAUAGUAAAAGAUAUAUUGAAUAAAAAUUAAGUAAAAUAUUUAUAUUCUAUUGUUUUUUCUUAUAAAAAAAAAGGACAAGUUUAUCUUUUGAAAUUCAGAGUGGUCUAAAAGUUAAUUUUGGACUGAAUUGAAUAUCUACUGAAAGUUUGAGGGUGAAAUUAAAUAUUUAGCCAAAAAUAAAUAAAAGAUCCUCCAAGUAUUAAUUGGACACUGAUCUAAUAUGCCACCUUGUAAUGUGUGAAUGUCUUUAAGCGUUAAAAUUUCCCAAAGUUAAAAAGACAAUUUUGACAUCAAACUUACAUUUACGUGAAAUGAUAACUUAAAUCAUUUGGCCUAUUGUCAGCGGACUUCCAUAACUAUAAAUCCAAUUUCGAAGAAUUCGGAGGGGCAAAAUGGAGAAAAAAAGGUGAAACAUACAACAACCGCUAGUUGUCAGUUUUCUAUGAAAAAAACAAGGUCCAAGAAAAUAAAUUAGCCAGCUCCAGCUCCAGCUCCAGCUCCAGCACAAGAGAAAAGAAAGAAACAGUCACACCUUUCAUUUGAAAUCCCUGUUCCUUUCACACAACGAGGUUGCACGCCUGUGCUUUUAUUUCUCCUGCUCCUCUCUCUGUCUCUCUCCCAAAACCAUAAAACCUCUUUUAAAGCCUCACAUGAACAGAAAAGUUCACUGCCUCCUCUUAGUAAAACUUGAAUACAAGAAAACCCUCUUUCUUUUCGAAUAAAAGUUCAAAAAUAACUAUAAUCUCUAUAAGUUUGUCUUUUUAGUUCCAGUUAAGUUGUACAUUUUCCAUUUUCUAUUGUAUUUUGAAAAUUUACAAGGGAAGUUGGUAUUGUUUUUGCCAGAAAAGUCCAAACUCUCACGUCUUAAUCUCUUAUUCUAAACUGUCACUCUCUCUAUCUAACCAAUACAUACCCUGCAACAAGAAAACAAAACAAGUACAUUUUCAAACCAAACAAGAAAAGUUUGGUAAAAAUUUUCUGUUCAAAACUCCUUUUCUCCAACCAAAAAAAUCCUAUUGUCUGCCAAUAGGAAAUGGAGUUGUUACGAAUUUGUACCAAUCAGUUCAAUGCUUUUCAAACUCUUCUUUUCAAUUAGAGUAUAUAUAGAGAGAGCAGUAGUAUAAUACCAUCCAAAAAAAGAAAGCUUGCUCAUGAAUUUGUUUUCAAGCCUUGAACUCUUUUUUUUCUUCAAAUAAACACAUUACCCAGAAGAUCGUUCAUUGCCUUUAUAUAUCAAACCAAGGAAGGUUUUGCAUGGACAAAGUAUCAACAAUAACGGCAUUGACUGCAAGAAGGCCAAAAUGGCAGUACCCACCAGCGCAACCAACACCAAGAAUACUGCAUUUACCUCGAAGGCCUCGCAGGAAAGCUACAGCAAAGGCUAGUGCUUCGAAAUCAAGUUCAUCACAAAGAGAAAGGAAAGGAAAGCUGGAGAGUUUGUUUGAUCAAGAAAGAGAAUUUGCAAGAGGGCUUAUGCCUCUUAUAAUGGUACGUGGUGAAAAGGAUGAUGAGUGUGACGAGGAGAGGAGAGUGAGAGUGGAGGAAAGAGAAAGUGUGGUGAUGGAAGAGGAGAAGUGGAGGUUUCAAGCUGAGAUGUUGAGGGCAGAGUGUAAUUUGUUACGGAUGGAGAGAGAGAUUGCUGUGAAGAAGAUGGAGAGGAGAAGGGUUCAGGUGGAAAGAGCUUUAAGAUCUGCUAUUCAAACUUUGCUUUCUGUUAGUAUCUCUCCCCUCUCUCUCUCUUUCUUUUCUAUCCUGUUUUGGCGUUUUUAUUUGUAGUUCAAGUAGUGUUUUUGCUUAUUAAGAAAUUUUUGUACAGCAAUAAUGACAAAGAAAUUGCAAAUUAUACAAUUGGUUCUUCACAGAUGGUUGUCGAAAAGAAAAUAUUAAGUACUCCGUCUUCUUUUUUGUGAUUGAUAAUCUAAAGAACAAAGUUUUAAGUUUUUAAGCAUGAGAGUAGAGACUGCCUUUCCUCAAGUAAGCCUGACAUACGCUACAUUGUUACUGUUGUCUCUGACUGUCUAAUUGUUACUUUUUUUUGAAAAAAACUGUCUAAUUGUUACUUAAUACUGAUUAAUAACUACUAAGUUUCUUUCAUUUCUUUCUAAUUUUUUAUUUGCUGUGAGGGAAGUGAGGAUUAAUAGAUCAUCGAAGGCAGAUUAAACUUCAGAAGUAAGGUGGGUCUGAUCGGACGCUGAGAAAUUUUUGGCAAAGAAAAUGAGCAAGAAAGGGUCAUCAAAUUGUUUGAAAAAAUUAAAUAUUUUGGUUCUGAAAAUAAAAAGAACAGUAUUCUAAAUAAUUGAACCAAAUCCUGAUUGUUUCGUGUGCCUCUAUCAGUUUCAUUUUUAUAACUUGAAUUGGUAAUUGGUUUAUAGGGGAGAGAAAAGUUGUGUAAUGGAAAGAGAGCAAGCAUGGUUUUGGAAGAAGAGAUCAUUGAAUUGGCUGAAAAACUAGAGAAAUUGCAGAGAAGGUCAAGGCAUAAGUGUAUAGAGGUUCGAAAUUGUGGCAAUUUUGAUAAACAAGCCCAUCUUCUUCAAAGACGGCUAGAGAAGUUUGCAGGAGAAUCUGACGAGGCAUGCGUGAAGGAGAUUCAAGAGAUGGCAGAAGCGAGUUUGUCCAUCAAAACUACUUGCAGCAGCGUCAAUGAAACUUCUGUUUCAAGUUUUAGCGCUAAUGUAAUAUUGAAUUUCAUCGUUUAUUACUAUAUGGAGAUAUAUAAUCUGUAAUCUUUAAUUGUUUCUUUCAUUGCGUUUACUAACUCAACAGCUGCAAGUUACUAACUUUUAACAUAAAAGAAUAUGCAGAUGGAGAUUCUAAGGAAAAAAAUGGAAGGAUUAUCAAAGGAGCAUCUGUUAGAGAGGAUGGAAGAGGAAUGCGGGCCAAUGCUCUCUACAGCCAACACUUCUGGUUCUAGUUCUGUUGCUAAUUGCAAGCGAAUUGAAUUACAGGAGAUGUCUUCGUCGUCCAUGAGACCACAGAGCAAGGUACCCUCCUUUUGUUUCUGAUAAUCUCUCCCGACUAGUCAAUAACCAUAGACUUUAGGAUGGAAGGCACUUCAGGAUAGAUGCUGAUAGAUUUCCUGUGCAGGAGAGAAAGUUGUACGAGGAGAGGGCAUGCUCAGGAUGCUGCAAGGCUAUAGUGCAAAGGGUUGUGGAGCAAGUUCGAGCUGAAACGGAGCAAUGGUCUCAAAUGCAAGAGAUGCUGGGACAAGUAAGGGAUGAGAUGGAAGAAUUGCAGGCUUCCAGAGAUUUUUGGGAAGAUCGAGCACUUGAUUCUGAUUAUCAAAUUCAAUCUCUACAAUCUGCAGUAAGUACCCAAAUCUUACACAAAGCCACACAGUUUACCAAAUUAAUUGUUUCAAUUAAGGUGAUACAAUUUCAUGGAUAGGUGAAAGAGUGGAGAAGGAAAGCUGUUUCUUCUGAAGCCAAGGCAAAUGAGCUACAAGCUCAGGUAAUGGAGCUAUCCACUGAACUUGAAAAGUUGAAGAAGGAAAAGGCUAAAGAAACUAUCAGGACCAAGAAUCAAAAACUAAAUCCACACACAGAGUCACCGAAUGAGAUGGAGAAAAGGGUACUGGUUUGUCGGUUGAAAGAAAAUCGGCAAGCUAAUUGCGGUGAUGGCAGCAAGCAGAAGGAGAUGUUUGCUGAUGGAAGAAAAAAGUCUCACAGUCUUAAUGCUUCUAAAAGAUCGCCAUUUAGAGAGAUUGGAAACUCAUCGUCCCCAUUGUCAAGGCAAAAUAGCAGGGCAGUUUUUCCAUUGCGCUGUUCCAUCCCUUCCAAUUUGCAGCAAAAACUAUAAUCCUGUCUAAUCUUAACUGAGAGAGUUACACGUGAAUAGAGGAGUUUUUUGGUUAUUGGACUUCUCAUACUCGUUUGUGUCGCUGACAGAGAAUCGUUUCUGCUUGGCAGGGAAAGUUUUCCGUCAUUACUGAACGACAGUUUCCUCUCACUGUUAAUGUGUCGUUUGAGCUAUAGGUCAGUAUAAUCGAGAAAAAGGCCCAGCAAUUAGCAAUCUCAAAACUAUAAAAAGGCCAGGUUUUGCUUAAAUUGAAAUGCUCGAACUUUCUUUCACAUCAUUCCGGUGGUUUGCUUAAACAAUCCAGAGAAAGGCCCACCAAUAUCACCAAAGUCAGGCCCACUUAAAAUAAGCCCAAAUAUCGUUUCAAUUAAAAUAAGCUUCAAAAUUUUUAUGUUUGAAGCUUUAAUUUAUAUUUAACUAUAAUCCAAGCAACAUAUUUUAAUUAAUUAUUUAAAAAAUAAAUUUGAAAUGAUAUUUUAUACAUGAAUUUUAUAUUUGGCUCUUGAUCGAAACCUCUUUAAUUACCAAAACCUUUUUACUCUUAACAUAAAAAAAGAAAGAACUUAACCUGUAAUCAUAUAAUUUUCAACUGGGUAAUUUUGAUUUUAUAAAAUUGAUUAAUUUUAUCAUCCCCUCACCUGUUCUUUUGUCGGUGGUUAUAUACAUAUAUAUGAGUAGAGUGUGAUAUAAUGGCAGCAAAACUAUGAGAAUGAAGUGAUUUCCAACAUUAGUCCUCUUAAUUAGGCUUGUGAAUGGCCAAAUUUUAGGACUUAUGUUCCAAUCAAGCAAUUAAGAAUGAACAUAAUCAAAAAAUAAAAAAUGGGUAUUUAAUAUUUUAAGUAGGUCUAACAUGUGAUGUUUAUAAGCUAAUUAAACUUAUUAAUUAACAACUCUCAUAAUGUGCACGCAAAUGUUACCAAUGAAAAUACUUAAAUGGAAAGAUGGUUUGUUGAACCAUGAAAAUCACAUGAUUUAGCUGCCAACUCCGCAACUAAAACCCUCCAUUUAUUUAAUUAGAGAAAUAAAUUAUAUAACCUCAAUAUCAAAAAUUAAAUACGUGUUUUUUUUUUUUUUUUUUCCGAUUACAAAAGGGAAAAGAUGUCAAGUCUCUAGACACAGCCUGGAGAAUUCCAUGUUAUGAGGUUCUUUUAAAGGUAAACAAGCAAUGCUCUUCCCGUUAAUGUUUUAUUUGUAAAGUUUAAGAUCUCGUAAUGUCUUUUUUCUGUUGUCAAUUUACUAAUAAAUUUCAUUUUUCAAAAGGCAUUUGAUUAAAUUUAUGAAUUGUGGAAAAUUGGACUUUAACUGAAUAAAAAGUCCUUCAUGGUGAUGGUAAUCUUUUCAAAUUAUUACUUCUUAUUAGCAAUACAAUAUGUUGGCUUUGUAAACCUAACAAAAUGGCCAAUCUGAUCCAUUUACAGUAAUUUGCAAUAAAUUGGACAACUCACCCACAGAAAUUAUUUUAUACGUAUUUCCCAUAUUCAAGAACUGGUAAAAACACUAUACUACACGUAUAAAUACUCUGCAUAUUCUUAUAACAAUUCAUAGAUGUAUAAAUAUCAGUUUUUUAGCACUAAAACCAGUUUGAGUUUUGAUGAACAAUUUCAUUAAGGUGACGAAAAACAGAUUGCUUCUUUCAGAAAAGAAGCUAACAGAAGGACUGAAAUAUUUAGAAGCGACGUCGGUUUGGCCUUGGCAGUUUGGUUACGAGGCGAAGAAAAUGAGAGCAAAGCCAAUUAAUUCAGGAAAAACCAUUUUUAUACUGUGCAUUGCUAGCUUUAUUGCAGGAUCUUUGUUUACUACUCGAUCAUGGACUCGUACUUCUCCUUCUCAGCCUAAAGAUCAUAACCAUAAUAAUAAUAUUCCACUCAUUUCUCGUUAUGUCAACAAGUUUCAAGAAGCUGAACGCGAUUGCGAUCACAAGCGUGUAAGUUUUUAAAUUAAAAGUCUGAGAUUGAAAUCCAUAUAUAUAGCUCAGGUGAAAUUUGUGUUAACAUUGCAUGUGUGUAUGAACUGUUAGAAAUUGGCUGAAGGAAAGCCUGGAGAUAUUAUGGGAGAAGUUAUGAAAACCCAUCAAGCUAUCAAGUGAGUUGAUUAAUUAUUCGGCUAUAUUAUUCUUUAUUUUUGUGUUUCUCUUACGAGUAUCUCCGCACUCUUUUUGGUUCGUAAACUGUCUUUCUCCAUAAAUAUUUUUUUCACGAAUCGAAGCUGAUGUUCUAAGUGCAUAUAGGUCACUGGAGAAUACAAUUUCUAUAUUAGAAAUGGAGUUAACAGCAGCUCGUACAAGUCAAUACAGCGGCCAAAAUUCAAUUGGAAGACCUAAUAAUCGUACUUUGCAAAAAACAUUUGUUGUAAUUGGAAUUAAUACAGCAUUUAGCAGCAGAAAGCGCCGGGACUCAGUCAGAAAAACAUGGAUGCCAAAAGGUAAUAGUAAUAUACACAUUAUAUUAUAUAGUUGCUGAAAAAGGAUUAAUUAAAUUAAAAUAUAAAAUGCAGGAGAGAAAUUGAAGGAAUUGGAGAAAGAGAAAGGGAUAGUGAUACGGUUUGUGAUAGGACACAGUGCAACCGCAGGCGGUGGUGUUCUUGAUAAAGCGUUGGACGCAGAAGAAGCAGAAUAUAACGACUUUCUUAGGCUUAAACAUGUAGAGGGUUAUCAUCAACUCUCUACCAAAACUAGAUUGUAUUUUUCCACUGCUGUUUCGAUUUGGGAUGCUGAGUUCUACAUCAAGGUUGAUGAUGAUGUUCAUGUUAAUUUAGGUAAUUUAUUUAUUUUUCUUUUGUUUAUUAAUGGCUCUAUCUAAUAAGCUAAUUGAUUUAAAUGAAAUUAAUUAAUUAAUUAUUACUGUAUUUUUUAAUUUGUAGGUGCUUUAGUCAGUACACUUGCAAAAUACAGAUCCAAGCCAAGAAUAUAUAUCGGGUGCAUGAAGUCUGGACCUGUUCUCUCUCAAAAGUAAGUUUUUUAUUAUAAUAAAUAUUGAAAAGUUAUUUUAUAAUUCAAAAUAAUUCAAUGAUGAAUUAGAAUUAUAAAUAUUCUCGAAUCUACAAAAUAUGAGAUGUUUCGUAAUAUGAGAUGUUUCGUACGCUGAUUUGAUUUUUAUUUUAACUACAGAGGGGUAAGAUAUCACGAACCAGAAUAUUGGAAAUUUGGAGAAGAAGGUAACAAGUACUUCAGACAUGCAACUGGCCAAAUUUAUGGCAUCUCUAAGGACCUUGCUUCUUAUAUCUCCAUUAACUCGUAUGCUAUCUUCUUUUAUUAUGAAUAUUUUCAAUUUGAAAUUUCAAAUUUGAUAAUUAAUUCUUUUAUUAUUGAUAUAUUUUAAAUUUCAAAUUUCAAAUGAAAUCUGGUAAUUCUAAAUCUAAAUCAAUCAGAAAUCUUGGCAGUCCAAUAUUGCAUAGAUAUGCAAACGAAGAUGUUUCUCUUGGAGCUUGGUUUAUUGGCUUAGAAGUUGAACACGUGGACGAGCAUUCCAUGUGUUGCGGAACCCCUCCAGGUGAAAAAAACAAAACACAACAAUCAAUUCCUGACCGUCAGAUUCUGUGAUUUUGUAAAAUAAUAAUAAUUACUAGUAAUUAAUUGAAUCGAUGCUUUGUCAGCGUGUGAAUGGAAGGCGCAAAAUGGAAAUGUGUGCGUGGCAUCAUUUGAUUGGUCUUGCAGCGGCAUAUGCAAAUCUGUGGAAAGAAUGAAAGCGGUGCAUAGUUCUUGCGGGGAAGGAGAAGGCGCUGUUUGGAAUGUUAAUGUUUUAAGUCAAUAAUAGUAUUAUUAAUAAUUAAUUAUAUGCCAAUACUUUAAAUUCAAAAAUAAGAUUGAUAGCUAACUUUUUAUCUUUGAUUAUAAUUUUUUUUAACCACUUUUGAGUUGAUUUUUUCCUAUCAUUUCUGUCAUUUGAGUGUAAUUAAGUUUAUUAGUUACUAAAUUGAUUGCCACUGUAUUAAGGCAAAAUAUAGUAAUUUGAUUCAUAUUGAAUAAAUUUUCAACAUUUUGUUACGUAUAAAUUUCAUUUUCUGAAUGAUUUGAAUUUCUAUAAUUUGUUUAGAAUUUUAACUAAUUUAAACACUAAUUUUUAAAAUUAAAAUCGAAUUAUAGUCAUUUAUAAUCUUAAAUAAUAAUUUGAAAUAAUUUUGGUAAGAAUUCGACAAAAUAUAUUUUGUUCCCAUAUAUGUUCUAAUCUAUAAUUAACUAUUAAUCAUUAAAAAAAAAAAAGACAGAAAUGUGAAAACAUGUAUGAAAACUUUGAUAUUGCAAAACAAACAAAUUCAUAAAGAAAAUAAUACUGUUAUUAUCAAUCUAAACUAAAGAGAAUAAUAAAAUUAUUUUGAAGAUGAUAACACAACAACUAAUUUUAUCCUAAACAAUAAUUGGUUCAUAAUAUUACUAUUACAAAACAAUAUAGCUAAACAAUAAUUGCUUCUUCCGCAUGAUGCCAACACCAUUAUUUAUUUAUUAAAAGAAAAGCUGAAAGUAGCUUGGAAAGGCUAGAAGAUGGUCAAAACACAAUAAAUCCUUUCUCCUUUAAGCUUUCCACAGUUUCCUUUAUGCUCACCUUGAGAGGAAUGAAGUCAAUACCCAGGCGUUUAGCCUUUUCCUUAGACACCUCAUAUGUUGGAACAUAAGGCUUAUCGUCCGCACACCUGUAAAAUUUUGCCAUCAAGGAACCCAAUUUAUCAUCCAUGGCUAAAACAACAGAAUAACUGAUAGAUACAUUGCUAUAAUGUGUAUAAUGUGAUUAAAACUGUGUAAGAAAAGUGAUUAAUGAAUCGCCAUUGCAAUAUAAACACCUUUGGAAAAGAAAAUAAAAUGUGGAAGAAAGACAUACUUUUCUGGAAAUUGGAAAUCGGGGUAAAGCUCACGCAAAGUAUCCACCACCUUUGAGUAGUGUGCAACUGUCUCAACCAAACAGUAACGUCCACUUGCUGACGGAAUCUCAAAAGCUUGAAUAUGUGCAUUAGCAACAUCCUUAACAUUUACCCAUCCAAAAGUUGCAUUGGGGAAAGUUUGUACUCCUAUAAUCAAUAAGAGGUGAGCAAAAUAAGCAUAUGCGCUCCAGAGAGAGAAAAACGCAUUGCUAUUAUAGAAAUCCUAAGACUAUUAUUUCUUGACAAUUUUCCCCGCCGUGUUACAGCAUUAGACAUUUUCAAAAGGGACAAUUAUAUCUUAAUUGCUACAUUGAUUUGAUAGAUUAACUUAUAAUAUUUAAAGGAAUGAUAAAUACGAUCCCUUUAUUAUAGAGGUUCUAUUCAAAAUUCUGUCUGAUUAAAUUCUAUACUUGAUCUUUCUCAAGGGAUUAGAUACUGACUUUAUGUAGAUUGUACUGAUAUUAUUCAGAUAGUAAUGAGACAAACAAAUACCUUUCAUCAAGCUUAAUACAGCAGCAGCACUUGUAUUAAGUGUUGGCUGUAGAAGAGGACCAAUCACCAUUGCUGGAUUUAUAGCAACCAGGUCUAUAUCUUUCUCUUUUGCAAAUUUCCAAGCGGCAUCCUCAGCCAAGGUCUUUGAGACUACGUACCAAAGCUAAAAGCAAAAACAAAACAAGGAAAGAUCACAAAGAAAUUUUAUAUUUUGGACAAUUAACAUGGCAGAAAUAGUGUUAUGAUAUAUCAAAACUGAGCACCAAAAAGGUAUGGCAGAAAUCAUUUGCAGGCAAUUUCGAAAUUGAAAUGAUGGCCGCUGGAUCUCUCCUUUCUUUGGCAUGGGUUUUUAACUUCUAAUUUUUUGGUAUGAGAAUUCAGAUUUUCAUUAGAAGGCUUUAUAACCAAACACAAAUCACUAUACACACUAAAGGGAUGCCAUUCAUGCAUUAAAACAAGAAGACCAUUUGCAAGGCAAGCAAUCUGCAAGGUCUAACACAGUAUGAACAUCAAAGUAUCAUCUUCUACUAAAAAAAAAAAUUAAAAGUACUUAUUCAGAUUUUAUUCUUUUGAAAACCUCCUGUUGCAUUCCUUCUAAAUAAAUGGAAAAAUACGGAGGGAUCUGUUAAGAUCUUGGUUAAAUAAAUGGAAAAAGGAAGAAUUUUCCUUGUCUGAGCAAGACUAUUGUUAACCAAUUCAAAUUCAACUGAUCCUGCUACUGCAUAGCAAAUCCUGGCCACUGAAAGCACACGCUAAAUUGGAAAUGCAACAAAAAUCUAAGAAGGAAUUGAUGAGCCAAGUCAGCUUCACUUCCUGUUUUUAUCUAAACCUCAAAUUCUAAAACAAUGAAAGUCAUGAAACAAAAAAAAGUAGCAUCUACAAUAGAAAGAUAAAAUCAAAAUGUUUCCCGUUCAAUCCAAAACCAUAAUGCUGAUUCCAUCAAUCUCGUAGAAGAAAAGAAACUUGAAGGAAGACCUCCACGUUUCUAAACCUCAUCUGCAAAUUGAAUAUGUUGCCACCCUCAUCCACUACUUGUGCCUCUCUCUCUCUCUCUCUCUCUCUCUCUCCCUGUUUAUGCCAACCCCAGCCCACUCUUAUGGACGCUAAAAUAUUUAUUCUACCAGAGGCUUAACUAGCUAAAAAAGAACUGUACGAAGCCAGCCCAUGUUAGUAGAUAGCCAGGGUUUGGUUUAUAUUACAGAAAGUAAUAACAGUAGAUGAUAACCCUCCUGGGCAAGAUUUGGAGAUCAUAAUGCAAGCAAUCAGUUACCAGAUAGAUGACUUAGCAUGUGUCCGCACCUUAUUUUCCUUGCAAAAUUCUGGAUCAGAAAACCAAGUUUCAUCCACAACUACCUCUGGAGUUCGAGGCUUUCCAUUAUAAUUAACUGCAGCGAUAGAAGAUGUCAAGACAACUCGUUUGACUGAAGGAGUUCUUGCACAAGAAUUAAGAACAUUUAGUGUUCCCUUCACUGCAGGAUCAAUUAAUUCUGUCUGAAAUGAAAAAACUAUUAGAAAAGAAGUCUUGCUGACGCAUGAAACAAAACAACAAAGGGCUACCAAUAGAUAGAUAUAUAAUAAAGUUGCAUAUUGGUUAUUUUGAACAUUUGUAACACUUGAUAGAAAAGACACCAUAAUGGCUGCUCUUAGAAUACACUUCGAGAUUUCAUCUAUCUACUAACUUUUCAUUAUCGAAUGAAAAGGUGCUAAUCAUGAAAUACACGCAUUCACAGUCCUGAUUAUGAAGAAAGAUAAAUGUGCCAAUACUCAUGAGGUAUCAUUAAGUUUCCUUCCUUAAUUUCAGCAAAAAUAAGGACCUGAGUAUACAAAAAACACCAACGCUUGCUUAGAAGCAAGAUUGUAAGUCUAACCUGUGGAUCUGUAACGUCAUGGAAAAAGGGAGAUGCAGUAUGGAAAACACCUUCACACCCUUCAAUUGCAGCAUCAAAGGAACCUUCUUCCAAUAGGUUUGCUUUAAACAGCUGAAGUCUCUCUUGAGCUCCUUCAAGUGCAGUCAAGUGUUCCACCUUCUUGGGAUCAUCUGCAGAAAUAACAGAAAACAAUCAACAAUUUGCUCAAACAGCUAGCUGUUCUCUGUUGCUGCUUUGCAAUCAGUAUAUUUUUGUUUGUAUGCAUCCAUGAAGGAAAAUAUAAGUGUGCUCAUCCUGUCAUUACCAACCAAACAGGCCCAACCUCGUGAGAAAACAGCAUCUUGGUUUCUCUUAAAGUAUAGAGGAAGAGAUGCUUUGUAGAGUAAAGUAUUCUUCGUAUUUAACACAUAAUAGGCCCAACCAUAUUUCCGUUUUUUGUCAAUUGCGGUAACCAUACGCACCCUAAAAGAACGUUCAAGCGUGUGAUUAAGGAUUCAGAUUCAACCAAUUUUUUAUAUUAAACAAUUAGUUACGUGUAGAAAAUUUUAAAUAAUCCACAAAUAGUUCUUUCCUCCAACCUAACCGCAGGAAAUUAUUCUCAACUAUCUCAAUCUGUGACAGAAUUUUGUAAUAUCUACCUACUUCAACAAUAUUAUUAAGAAAAUGCAUGAGAGAAGAAGUUUCCCGGAGCUUUAUAACUUACAAUCUGUUAAAUUAAUUGGCCAUUAGUUUAUACAGUGAUCUAACCGUAAUCAAAAUAGCACGAUGAAGAUAAAUGAGAAAGAAAAAAUCGGAUGUAGGGAGAGAUGAUGAAUACCGACCUGGAUUACGAACAGAGGCUUUGACGGUGUAGCCACGGAGGAGGAGGAACUUCACGAGCCAUGAGGCAAUGUAACCGGAAGCUCCAGUCACGCAAACGAUCUUCCCUGCUCCGCUGCUCAUUUUCGUUUUCUCUUCUACUCCCACUUGCUCGUUCAGUUUGGAAGGUAUCUUUUCCUUCAGUUGGCUCAUGCUCUUUAAAUAGGCAAAUGUCUGUCCUCUUUUGUAACGGCAAGUCUGUGAGCUCACCGAAUAGUCGUGUGUCAUACCAUACGAAAUCGUAGCCCGGCUAGGUAUGCCGUAAGCAUUGACGUAUGCGAAUGAAUAACUCGCUGCCGCUGGUGGCUCUAAUUUGAUUGGAGUAGAUAAUGCCAUGUGACGCCCAAUCGACAGCAAUUAUCGGGGAAAGGCUUAUUUGAACCGAGGAAACGACAGGGCUAAUUUGCCGUUUCUUUUAUAUUUUUUAAACAAUUUCAUUUAUGUUUACGCCACCUAAUACGUUAACUAAUGUGAUUUGUUACGCCACCUGCUACGUUAACUAGAGAUGACUCGUGGUCACGUUAACCGGUUAUGAUCGUAUGCUUUAAAUAACAAAAGUCAGUUACAUAACUUGUGUUUUCAUAAUUUUUAUAUAAUAAAAUAUAAUUUUCCAUGUUAAUUUGUCAAUUUUUUUAUUUUUUUUAUUUUUCAAAUAUGAAUAAUGAAUUCUUCCAAAAGUUUCGAUCUUUCUUUUCUUUAGGUGCAUGGUAAUCAUUAUGACUAUAUAUUUUUACUAUUUUCUAUAAAUUUGAUUAUUUCGAUUCAAAAUUUCAUGGAAAAAUGUAAUUCAAUUCUCAAAACUAUACAAUUUUUAUAACAAAAAAUAAAGGAUUUUGCAACUUAAUUUGUAAGAUUUUUUAUUUAUUUUUCUCCUUUCAAAUAAGCAUCAUGAACAUUUUCCAUAGUUUCAUAGUAUUUUUGUUAUUUUAGCUACAAUAAUAAUAAUAAUAUUAUUAUUAUAAUUAUUUGCUCUCACUAUCUCCUAUCACUUUGAAAAUUUUUUGCCAAAACUCUAAAAAUGUUUGGUUCAAUUUUUUCAUGCAACUAACAUCUUCUUUUAGAAGUCUCAUUCAGUAAAUUAAUUGCAUUUUAAAAUUCUUUUUCUAUUAUGUUUAGACCAUAUUAAAUUUAUAAAAAUAAUUAUGAAUAAUUUUAUUUUCAAAUUAAUACUUUUAGGCCAUUAUUUUUAUAGUUAUUUAAAAAUAAUAAAUAAGUAUUAAAUAUUAUUAUUCAAAAAUAAUUAAUAUUUUUAUUUAUAUUGCACAUUAAUAUCUAUAUUUAUAUAGUUGUAUCCUAAUGAUUAUAUUUAGACUUAGGCUACCUGAAAAUUGGGUAAUCGUUUGAAAUGUUUCUAAACUGUAAUAAUACAUUAGACAGCGAAGAGAUAAGUAUUUUGCGUGGUUGAUAGCAGUCUCACAAAAAAACAAAUCUAAUUUCCUAUAUAUCAAUUUCAAUUGUUCAUUAUACAUUUUGCUGACUUUCUUUUAGAUUUCAGCAUCAAUUUAAUUCUAAAAUCUAAAAUUUUAACUAUGUAUUUUUAAAUAUUGAAAUAUUAUUUUAACCAUUGGUACAUUUUCAAAAGCUUAAAAGAAGGAAAACAAAAUGAAAUCUAGAUGUUAUUUUCAUACUGUGGCACGAGGAACACAAGUGCUUACUUUAUUUUAUGAUGGCUUUAUGGAAUAAGAAGUAAAGUUGGAGACUAAGUGUGACAUCCCUACCCGGCAAAGCGAUUCUAAGAGGGCGGGUAGAGCGAAGCUCCUGGCUAGCUUCUAGGAUGGCAGGCUAGCUAGGGUAGUAGAAUGCGGGACACAGGAAUGAAUCGAAUUAUAUAUCGAAGGAGGAAACUAAUCAUUAGAGGCGCCUUUUGGUGGAAUGACUGGAGAGUUGGAAGAACUCCAGGAUUAAGAGUGCUCGUUUAACAGAAAUCUCAGGAUGGGUGACCUCCUGGGAAGUUUCUCAUUUCACCUGCGGGACAAAACCGUGAGGUGUAGGGCGUCCGUGAACUACACCAAAGCGGACAAUUCCUCUUGUGAUUAGAGUCGGGGCGUGACACUAAGACACCCACCCACUAUUUCUUUCUUUCUUUUUUUCUUUUUUUUCUUUUUUUUCUUUUUUUGUGAGAUAACCCUAUAUUUGGAACAUGAUUAUUAAGUAUGCUCACAUUUACAAAAUUAAAUUAGCCUUUAAAAUAUUUCCAACGUUAUUAAAUUUAUCCUCACCAAUGGACUUCACUCUCUCUUAUUAUAAUAUGGUGGUGGGUUGGUGGCUCUAAGAAUGUUGAUGUUUUGGACACGAGGAAAUUGAAAAUGAUGCCAUCAUAUUCAUCCAUUGAUAUAUAAUUAAUGUAGAUUUGAUGGACUUGUUUCAAAUAACUCUCUGUCUCUCUAGUUAUUUGAUUUCAUAAACACAGCCACUCCCUGAUAUGUAUCUCUUUUAUCAAAACAAGAAUCGACAAACAAGAGGAAAUUAAGGUGAGAGACAGUCGAAUAGAGAGAUAACCAGUAAUGGCUACUCUGCUAAUUAUACCUUUGAAUACUCUGAAAACCACUCUACCACCUAUCCAUGAACGUUUCUUGCCAAUUUUUAAACUCAGCAAAUCUAAAUCUUUCAUCUUCCAAAGCAAACUCUUUUCACUAAACCCUAAAACUCUCAUCAAAUGCUCAUCAUCUGUGUCACGUCUAACUCCACAACUAGACGACGAAACCCUAGUUUAUAACCAAGAAGACGAGAGGCCUCUAAGCCAAAUUUGGAAAGAAAUUCAAGGCUGCAAUGACUGGGAAGGACUUUUAGACCCAAUGAACUCUCAUUUACGCAAAGAAAUCAUUCGGUACGGAGAAUUCGCUCAGACAUGUUACGAUUCUUUCGAUUUCGAUCCUCACUCCAAGUAUUGUGGCACGUGCAAAUAUCAAGGCGCUCAUUUCUUUGAUAAACUUGACAUGCAAGGACAUGGUUAUCAAAUAAGUAGGUAUCUUUAUGCGACUUCAAAUAUUAAUCUUCCAAAUUUCUUUCAAAAAUCUAAACUAAGCAGCGUUUGGAGUAUCCAUGCAAAUUGGAUGGGUUACGUUGCUGUUUCCACCGAUGAAGAAGAAAUCCAACGGCUAGGCCGUCGCGAUAUAGUUAUAGCAUGGAGAGGUACAGUUACUUAUCUUGAAUGGAUAUAUGAUCUCAAAGACAUACUUUGCUCUGCAAAUUUCACUAACGAUCCAUCAAUAAAGAUCGAAUUGGGUUUUUAUGAUUUAUACACCAAGAAAGAAAACUCUUGCAAGUAUUGCACAUUUUCUGCUCGUGAACAAGUUUUAGCUGAGAUUAAAAGGCUUCUUGAUUAUUAUAGAGGCGAAGAAAUUAGUAUUACAAUUACGGGUCAUAGCUUAGGAGCAGCUUUGGCUAUAUUAAGUGCCUAUGAUAUUGCAGAAAUGAAGGUUAAUUACAUGGAUGAUAAAACUAAAAUUCCCAUCACUGUCUACUCUUUUUCGGGCCCUCGAGUUGGAAAUUUAAAGUUUAAAGAAAGAUGCGAAGAGCUUGAUGUUAAGGUGUUAAGAGUGAUUAAUGUGCAUGACAAGGUACCAAAAGUACCAGGAAUAUUUGCUAAUGAAAAAUUUCAAUUUCAAAAAUACGUAGAGGAGACAAUGUCAUUUCCAUGGAGCUAUGCACAUGUUGGUGUAGAACUUGCAUUAGAUCAUACACAUAGUCCAUUUUUAAGACCAACAAACGACCUGGGUUGUGCUCAUAAUCUUGAAGUCCAUUUGCAUUUAGUAGAUGGGUAUCAUGGGAAAGGAAGAAAGUUCGUUUUAGCGACAAAAAGAGAUAUUGCAUUAGUUAACAAGAGUUGUGAUUUCUUGAGAAGUGAAUAUGGUGUGCCACCGCAUUGGCGGCAAGAUGAGAAUAAAGGGAUGAUCAGAAAUAGAGAAGGGCGAUGGGUGGUGCCGGAUAGGCCUAGAGUGGAGGCACAUCGAGCUGAUACGGCCCACCACCUUGAACAAGUGCUCAAGACUAAAGCAAACUCCUCUUAAGUGGAAGCACUUUGAAAGUUUGAAUUUGAUGUGGUAACCACUACGAACUUUGCGUGUGUGCGUGUCUGGGCCUUAUCUCCUCAGUGUCCUAUAUAUGUAUGUAUGUAUGUACAUAAAUGUGAUAGAUCGUCCUUGUGCUAUAAAAUAUAUAUAAUACUUAUAUAUAUUAAAGAGGAAGAAUGGUAUGGACCCUGAGCACUAGUGUCAAUUUUCUCUUUUGGUCUAGUACGCUGAGGACCAUCUCAAUUCUACACCCACCAUUUUUGUUACUUACUAGAAUGCUGCCCAACACACGACUAUCAUACACAUGAUGAAUGCCACUUACAAGGUUCUGACCACCGAUAAAUUAGGACACAUGUCACGUGUGUGUACAUAUAAUCAUGUUGUUUUUGUGUAUAUCCAAAGUAGGAGACACACACUAGUCAUGCGUGUGUAUCAUAUAUCAAUACAUUAAUCAAUACAGAAAGGAAAGUGAACCAAUUAGGUUUUUUCACUAAUGUGAUAAGUGAAAUGUCUCGAAUUUAAAUUCUCUCGACUAUAAAAAUUUUCAACAAUUUAGUAAAUUAAGAGGAGGAUUAUUCUUGUUGUGUAGCUCAUCAUGAUGAAUUUAGUAUAUUAUUACCAUGUGUUUCAUUUAUAGGCUGCACAAAAAAUAUGCAAGGAUUAGAACUUGAGCACUUACAAUAAUCACUUCCUUGUUAGUGACCCAAGUAGUUGUAAUGGAAUCAUGAUUUGUACAUCUUAAGCUCCAUUAAUUAAAUGAUUUUGAUGUUAAUUAGAAUUAAUUAAAUAUCAAACUCCUCAUAAUGAAAGUUUGAAAUGAUUGCUUAUUUGCUUUUCACCAUAUUGCAAGUUUCCAACUAGAGAAAAAGUGGGGCUGAAUUGAUUAUGGUUGCCCAUGAUCCAUCGUAGUGGCUAGUUUAGACAUCUUAACCUUUUUUUUUUUUUUUUUUCUAAGACGCAGAGAUAUUUUAUUUAAUAUUUCCACAAGAGUGGCAGUAAAUAUAAUAAUAAAAAUCCAAUCUCAUGUCCCCGUAAUUUGAUAAGCAUAAAGGCUAGCUAGGUUGCGUGGACCCCGUAAAGGUGAGGCUUGGCCUUAUAGAAUGACAAGCACCGACUGCCUUAGCGUGGGUUUUUCUACUGGGCUUUCUGAUACUGGGCUUUGGCCUCAUAAAAUCCAUAAAAAGCAUCGGUUCACGUUGUCGGACUCGGACAUAGCAUAUAAAUGAUAAAACAAAAUUGGCGGUCUAUUCAAACUUCAAACUUGAAAAAGGGCAAAAAAAAAAAAAAAAAAAGAAAUAAAUAAAAUAAAAAUAAUGGAUCACUGGACAUUUGGACUCUGAGAGUCUGAGUUCCCAACUUCUUGGAAGUCAGCAGCCUACAACGGCGCUCUUCUCGACUCUUCAAAAAAACUCAGCCUAUUUUCUUAAGCCAUUCUUUUUAUUAUUAUUAUUUUAUUUUCGGACCAUCUAAUAUCCAAAAUCUAUUAAUUAGAGUUUGAAUAUUUAAAAAAACUUUAUAUCUCAUGUUCAAAUGUAAUACUUCUAAUUGAAGAAAACAAUUUUUUUUUUUCAAAAGGAGGAAAAAAAAAAAGAUUUUUGUUACCCAGCCCAUCCCUCGAGUAUUCUAUUUUUCAAAGUGGGAUUUUUGUUAGAAAUAAACUAUGUAAAUAAAAUAUAAAUAGAAAUAUAUUUUUUAAUUAAAAAAUGUGAGAAAACUAUCAAAUAAAAAUUUAUUUUUCUCUAGGACAAAUAAAUUUAGAAUCUCUCUAAAUUGAAAGAAAAAAUAAAGAAAUUAUUAUUUAAUGUAACAUAUAAUUUAUUAUUUUAUUUCUUUCAUUAUUUCAGUUUAUUCCUUUCCAAAUGAAAUUUUAUAAGAAAACAAAAGCGUAUGUCCUUCAUUGUUUUCUCUCUUAUUUUCUUUUCUGAGUAUCCAAACGUAGCAUAAGAAUAUUCUUUCGCGCAUGUAACUGUGUUUUGCUACAAUUUUCUGCUCCGUUUGCAAUUAUUAGGACAUGUUGAAUCAACCUAUCGAAUUUUAAUCCCAUUCCUAAAUGCAUUCUCAUAUUUAAUCAAAGAAUUAGUUAAUAUAUAUAAAAUAAAAUUUAUUAUUUAUCAAUUAGAUAAAAGUUUAAUAUUAUAAUUUAAUUUAGAUAAACAUACAAGACAUCUUCCGCCCAAAUUGAAUCGUCCUCUAAUGUAGAUAGCCGGUGAGCCACAAAAAUAUGUUUGCUUCAGUAUAUGAACGAAACGACAGCUUGCAAAUAAAUUGUAAUUGCAAUGAGCUGUCCAAACUAGGAAAGGUCAAGCUGCUGUUUUUUUUUUUUUUUUAAUAAUUGAAUAUAUGAUAUUGAAAAUAAGAUCGUUCUCCUUUUCUUGCAUCGUGUAGCUUAUUUUUUAUUUAAAAAAAAGAUAAAAUAUUAUCUCAAUAAUAUUUUUGUUGGAUUUGAAAAAAAAUAUUCUCAAGCAAUGAAUGGUAUAUCUAACAAUCUGUUACUGAUAUUAUUUUUAUGCUUUAAAUGAAUUAUUAUAAUAACGGUGAAAAAAAAUAUAGCAUUCAUAUUAUUAAGAAAAAAAAAGUUAAAAAUCCUUAAUGUAUGAUAAUAAAUUGUUAGGAAAAAUGCCACCUAAUGUUAGGUAACAUCCUUUUUUGUCUUUUUCUUUAAAAUUUCUAGGAAAUUUAACUGAGAAAAAUCCAAAUUCAGGUUUAUGAUAGACUUAUGAAAAUAACAUAAAAAAUAAAAAAGAAACUUCUCAAGUGAUGUUUGGAUUGGAGGUGUAGAAGGUGUUGUUUUAGAUAUUUGGAGCUUUGUGCAUUAAAUUUAUUGACACUGUCUUUCUUUUUUUUUUUUUAUUCACGAGAAAAUAUAACAGGACGAAUGAGAUUUCUCUUUGAUAAAUAAAGAUACUUUCAAUAAAAUGCAUUUUUCGAUAAUUAAAUUUAUGUUCUCACAUUCACGGAGAUUUAUGCCGCUUACUACUCUAAUCGAUGCAUUGUUGGUAAAGAUAUUUGCAUGUUAAUAGUAUGUAUUUUAAAAUAAAUGAUAGAACUUUGAUUUGAAUUUAUAGUUGAAGUGGGAAAUUGUAAAACAAACAAUGUGACAUCAAAUUCAAAAUCAUCUUUUAAUAAAUAUUUAUUUAAAUGGAUUAUAUAUUUACCUUUAUUCUAUAUGUAAAAUUUCAAUGUGUGUUUUCUUGGAUCUAAAUUAUAAUCUUCCUUUCUUUUUAAUUUUAUUUAAUUCAAAUUAUAUGUUAUUUUUGUAUUAUUUUUAUCUGGAGAGUAUAUGGUUUAAACAUAAUCUAAAUCUAUUAUCUAAUUCACUUUUAAUACAAAAAUUAAAAUAAAAAAAUAAAAAAAAUAAAAUGUAUAAAAAACACAUUAUACAAAUUUUUUUUUUUUUUACAAUCUGAUACUGUACAAUGAAUAUUGUACAAUUCAAUCUGCACUACGUAUAGAAAAGAUGGAGAGAGAGAGAGAGAGAUGUGACUUUCUUUUGGGCCGUAACGCUGUAGUGAAUUUGAUGACCAUAAAGGCAUCAAAAUGUAAACCCCAGCCACCAACUUCCCCUGCCGCGCACCGAUUGAUAUCACGCGCCAAUAGAGAUGUGGUUGCACGCUCCAUUAGACUUAACUGUCUUUUUCGUAUUUUUUAAACACAGUAUUUAAAUUUUAAUUUAUUUUAUAAUUAAUUAUUCUAAAUGAAUGUUAUUAUAAAGUUGGCUUAAUUUCAGUGUAUGAAAAAGUAUUGAUUUAUUUGUUUAGUUAAAACUAAAAAAUUUUAAUUUAUUUCGUAAAAAAAUUAUAUAAAAAGAAGAAAUGAGUCAAUAAUAAUGAAAUGAUUUAACUCUAAUAUUAAAGAUGAUACAACUAAAGUAAUUUAAUUAUUUUUAAUAGAAAUUGGUUAAUAUUUUAAUUUAAGUAAUAUAUUUAUUUUUUAUAAAAAAUUUAGCUUUAAAUUAUGUCUGAACAAUAUUUUAAACUCCAUUAAAUGAAUUAGACUUAAUAUAGAAAACCUUAACGUUAGUAUUGUUGUUAAAAUCACACCGUUAUGCUUAUUAGACUGUUUUCCUCCGCAACCUAUGACCAAAAUGGGUUCCUACCUACCCAUAGAAUAUAGUAAUAACAUGUGCACAUGUCUUUGUAUUAUUUUGAGCAUAUAGAUCCAAAUAUUUUUGUUAAGAGAAAAACAUAGAUCUAAAUCAGAUAACCUUGUAUAGGUGUGAUUAAAAAAAUAAUGUACCAUAUUAGAGUCUUUUUUAACAAAAAAAAAAAAGAAGCAUAUAGAUCAAAAUUUUCUUAAAAAAAAAAAAAAACAUAGAUCCAAACCAGAGAAAUUUGUACAUCCGUUAAAAAAUAAUAAAAUAUAUUAAUUUAUAAUAUUAAGUUUUUUUUAACGAAAAGACAAAAAACUCAAAAUGUAAAUCGUUGAAUUUAUAUUAUUUUGUUUAUAUAUAACUAUUAUUAUUCGAAAGCUCAUUAGAUUUUUUGACCAUGAACAAUUUAAAUAUUGAAGUCCCAAAAGGGUAACUCUUUGGAUUUUUUUUUUUUUGUAUAAUUAAGCACGGCAUGUAAUUCUCUUUAGGUAUAAAAUGUAACAAUUUUUUAUUUUUUCAAUAAGAUUUAUUUUUAAGGGAUUGAAUUUGCAUGUUUUACAAAAUUGAGAUCGGUUAAGGAAAAGGGGUUACUCUAAUUUUUCCUUUUCACUUCUAUUUUAUUUUGUAGAAGAUAUUUUGAUGGGACCAACUAGUAUAAAAGAAAAUAAUAACAAAAGAAAGAGCGUGGCCACCAAAUUCCAGAGAGAGAGUGAUGGCGCGAAGAGAGGACAAAAACUCUUGAAUUUUCCCUCACAUAUUCAUUCACAACUACCGCCCACCUACAUAAACGACACAAUAAACAUACCCAACACAAACUGACUGUGCUUUGUGCUUUCUACUACUCAAACCCACCCCAACCAACUAUAUAAACUGAAUCGAAAAACACGCCUCUCAGCUUCCACCAACACACCCCCCUCCUACUUGUCGACAUGGCCAUCGCCGCCUGCUUCUUCACCGCCUCCCUUCCCAACUCCGACCCCAAACUCAAUCUCCACCGUCCAUUCCUUUCCUCCUCCUCAUCACCCCACCUUCUUCUCCGUCUAUCCGUCCCUUCCUCCUCCCCACUCUCUCUCCGUCACCAACACAGUAACCUUCUCCCUCUCUUCGUCCCUUCUGCUUCUUACUCCGGUGGAGAUGACGGCUUCAACAACCGCAAUCAUGCCGGCGGCGGCGGCGGCGGUGGAGGUAAUGACAACAAUGGAAAUAAUGGUCACGGUGGUGACGAGGAUGGUGAUAAUGCCGCGAAUAGGAAUAGGAAAGAGGCGAUUAUGGUAUUGGCAGAGGCAAACCGGUCUAUAGAGAGUUUGCCCAAGGACUUAGCGGCUGCGAUCCAGGCCGGUAGAAUUCCUGGUGUGGUGGUUUCCAGAUUUUUAGAGCUGGAGAAGUCGGGGAUCUUCCGGUGGUUGCUUAACUUUGGUGGUUUCAAGGAGAGGCUUUUGGCUGAUGAUCUGUUUUUUGCCAAGGUCUUCAUUGAAUGUGGUGUUGGAAUAUUUACUAAGGUACAAUAUAAUUCUUUAUAUUCUAUUGAAAAAGGAAAAUGCAAAAUGCAUUUGAUUUGUUUUUGCUUUUGCUAAUAGUGAUUUUGUUAUUGUGAUUGAAAAAGCUAACAAUGUGCAUAAUGGAAUAAAAUUUUCCAAUCCUGGAAAGAAUUUUGAUGAGUGUGCUUUGAUUCCCCUUUUACUCAUUCAUCACCAAAUCCCCUUUUUAAUUCUUCACCCCUGCUCUUGAUUUAAAGAUAGGUUAUGGUGAACUGUUAUUUAGAUUUGUAUCCUUAAUUUGAUCCGUAUUCUUUUUCUGUUUAGACAGCUGCAGAAUAUGAACGUCGCAGAGAGAAUUUUUUCAAGGAGCUCGAAAUUGUUUUUGCAGAUGUGGUAAGAAUGUUUUGCUGAAGAUUAUUUCUUAUGAAUCAUCCAUCACUUGUUUGAUUAUAAAAGCAUGGGCAGAAAUGUUGCACCUAAUCAAAUGCUUGUUUACUGAAAAUUUGGCUGUGGAAGUAUUCUCUGCAUUCUCAUUUUGAGUUUAUUGUGUCUCUUAGGUGAUGGCCAUAAUUGCAGACUUCAUGCUGGUUUACCUUCCUGCUCCAACAGUAUCCCUCCGACCGCCACUUGCAAGCAAUGCAGGAACUAUUGCAAAGUUCUUCUAUAGUUGCCCUGAUAAUGCGUUUCAGGUUUUUAUUUGACAAUAACCUUAUAUGCAUUAGCUUGCCUUUUAUACAAGGAUUGUUUCUGACUUUCAGUUACUCUGUUUUUCGGAUUCUGUUUGUAGGUUGCACUCGCUGGAACUUCCUAUUCACUCAUACAGAGAAUAGGUGCCAUAGUGGUAAGGAUUAUUUUGUAUGCUACACUUGAUUAAUUCAAAUUUAUCAAGUUAUAUCUCUCAAGUAACCAGUUAGUAAAUUCAUGCAGCGUAAUGGGGCAAAGCUUUUUGCUGUUGGCACCACUUCAUCACUGGUAAGUCCUCAUUGCUGAGGAGGUUGCUUGUUUUUGAUGUGGACUAUACCUGUGUAUGUUGUGCAUCUGUUUCAUUCUGCAACCGUAAGGAUUGUUUCUAGGACAGAUCAACAUAAUGCUAAUGCUAAAUGGCUUGAAAUAUUCUGGUUAAUCACAUUGUUGUUCUUUAAAUACGCAAUUUGCUAGAGUCCUAGGGAAAAGAAAUGAAAUCAAGGCCAGUAGCUGUUGUCGUCAAAUUUUUCAUACAAAAGAAAAUUUUCUGUUUGAAGUCAUUAAUCUAAUAAUCUCUGUUUAUCUUGAUGACAUUAUUCUUAUAAUAUGUACUUCAUCCAUCUUAGCAAACCAAUUUUACCUUGUGCCAAUGUUUUCUUUGGCUUUGUUCUGUAGCAGCUGUCUAUGUUAUGCUGGGAAGAACUGUCUGCUACUCUGGCUUUUAAUUUUGAACAUAUCUAACCUCAUUUCAAACAUUAUAUAAUCUUCAAUUUUGUUUUUCUUGCAUUAUGAACAUUCUAUUUUCUGUUAAUGUCAUUUUCUGGGGCUCUUCCUGGCCCCUUUUCCCCAUUCCCCUCUCUCUCAGGCAUCAAUAUGAACUGCUGCUUUGUGUUUCUGUUCCUGCAUUACAGUGUCACUUUUUUUCUUGGUCGUCAUUGUCAUCAUCUUAUUCCUUUACAGGCCUUUUUCUUUAGUAUAUAUACAGGAAAAGUUGAGUUCUAGUGUGCAAGCAUUUGAUGCAAUUUAUUUUUGUUCUAGGUUGGUACAGCUGUGACAAAUGCAUUGAUCAAUGCAAGGAAGGCUGUGGAUAAGUCUUCAGCUGGUGAGGUUGAAAAUGUGCCAAUAGUGUCCACUAGUGUUGCCUAUGGUGUAUAUAUGGCAGUUUCCAGCAACCUAAGGUAUGAUGUGGUUUUGCAGUAUUGUUUGUGCAUCUGUGGUUUUUAUUUUGUAUAUUGUCUUGUUGUCCGUGAUGUUGAUGAUUCAAUAUAGCAGUAAUAAUCUAGAAACCACAAAAGACCCAUGCCCUGUUCUUGGGUAGCUAAGUGUAGUUUGGAUGCUGGCUUGCAUGCUUGUUGGGAAUAGAUUGCAUUGGGCGAAUAACCAUUUUCAUCAUAAAUAGUGAAUUUUUUUUUUUGGAAUACAGUACUAAGAUAUAUAAUUUGAUCUCAAGGUUCUUCUAUAGUUGCCCUGAUAAUGCGUUUCAGGUUUUUAUUUGACAAUAACCUUAUAUGCAUUAGCUUGCCUUUUAUACAAGGAUUGUUUCUGACUUUCAGUUACUCUGUUUUUCGGAUUCUGUUUGUAGGUUGCACUCGCUGGAACUUCCUAUUCACUCAUACAGAGAAUAGGUGCCAUAGUGGUAAGGAUUAUUUUGUAUGCUACACUUGAUUAAUUCAAAUUUAUCAAGUUAUAUCUCUCAAGUAACCAGUUAGUAAAUUCAUGCAGCGUAAUGGGGCAAAGCUUUUUGCUGUUGGCACCACUUCAUCACUGGUAAGUCCUCAUUGCUGAGGAGGUUGCUUGUUUUUGAUGUGGACUAUACCUGUGUAUGUUGUGCAUCUGUUUCAUUCUGCAACCGUAAGGAUUGUUUCUAGGACAGAUCAACAUAAUGCUAAUGCUAAAUGGCUUGAAAUAUUCUGGUUAAUCACAUUGUUGUUCUUUAAAUACGCAAUUUGCUAGAGUCCUAGGGAAAAGAAAUGAAAUCAAGGCCAGUAGCUGUUGUCGUCAAAUUUUUCAUACAAAAGAAAAUUUUCUGUUUGAAGUCAUUAAUCUAAUAAUCUCUGUUUAUCUUGAUGACAUUAUUCUUAUAAUAUGUACUUCAUCCAUCUUAGCAAACCAAUUUUACCUUGUGCCAAUGUUUUCUUUGGCUUUGUUCUGUAGCAGCUGUCUAUGUUAUGCUGGGAAGAACUGUCUGCUACUCUGGCUUUUAAUUUUGAACAUAUCUAACCUCAUUUCAAACAUUAUAUAAUCUUCAAUUUUGUUUUUCUUGCAUUAUGAACAUUCUAUUUUCUGUUAAUGUCAUUUUCUGGGGCUCUUCCUGGCCCCUUUUCCCCAUUCCCCUCUCUCUCAGGCAUCAAUAUGAACUGCUGCUUUGUGUUUCUGUUCCUGCAUUACAGUGUCACUUUUUUUCUUGGUCGUCAUUGUCAUCAUCUUAUUCCUUUACAGGCCUUUUUCUUUAGUAUAUAUACAGGAAAAGUUGAGUUCUAGUGUGCAAGCAUUUGAUGCAAUUUAUUUUUGUUCUAGGUUGGUACAGCUGUGACAAAUGCAUUGAUCAAUGCAAGGAAGGCUGUGGAUAAGUCUUCAGCUGGUGAGGUUGAAAAUGUGCCAAUAGUGUCCACUAGUGUUGCCUAUGGUGUAUAUAUGGCAGUUUCCAGCAACCUAAGGUAUGAUGUGGUUUUGCAGUAUUGUUUGUGCAUCUGUGGUUUUUAUUUUGUAUAUUGUCUUGUUGUCCGUGAUGUUGAUGAUUCAAUAUAGCAGUAAUAAUCUAGAAACCACAAAAGACCCAUGCCCUGUUCUUGGGUAGCUAAGUGUAGUUUGGAUGCUGGCUUGCAUGCUUGUUGGGAAUAGAUUGCAUUGGGCGAAUAACCAUUUUCAUCAUAAAUAGUGAAUUUUUUUUUUUGGAAUACAGUACUAAGAUAUAUAAUUUGAUCUCAAGCUUAAUGCUUAUCAUUAGGACCAUUUUUCUGUGAUUUUGUGAAGUCUUCAAUAACAGAGUAAGUAGCAAAAUGGCAGCCAAGCAAUUUGCCUCAAUAGUUCUCCACCAGAAUAUAAUGUAUGAAAUUCUAAAUGGAUACCAGUUUAAUCUCAUUGGAAUUAUUAAUUGCUGUAACAAAUGCAACAACUUCUUUAUUUUUAGGGUUCUUGAGAUUGGAAUAUUAUUCUGAGAGAUUAAAUCUGUUAAACAGGUAUCAAGUACUGGCUGGAGUUCUUGAACAACGAAUUUUGGAACCUCUACUACACCAGCACAAGCUAAUGCUUAGUGCAAUUUGUUUUGCUGUUCGAACGGGCAACACGUACUUGGGUUCAUUAUUGUGAGAUAUCUUACUUGUAAAACUCUUUGAAUUUGAUAACUUUUCCAUCCAUAGCAAGUCAAAUUCACAACUUGCUUUGACAGGUGGGUGGAUUAUGCUCGCUUGAUCGGACUUCAAAAGGCUCAGGAGGUGCAAAACGAAUUGGCUUGAUUUGUAAUGGUCCCACGAAAAUGUAUUGGCAUGAAGUAGGUCUAUCAGUGGAAUUUUUGUGAGGGUUUUGGCUGAAGAAAUUGCAAUUUUCCAACUAUCUAUACCUCACAAUUACUCGAUAAAGCUGACAUCCUACAGCGUGUUUUGUUUUUAUCAGUGCAAAAUUUGUUGUCUAAUUUUUUACCACCUCGGCUCGUGGGUGGCUAGUUUUAGACGCAAACAACAUUUACGAUCGGAGAGUCUACGUAGGCCCUAGUGGUAAAGCAUUUGUAUAUUUUUCUUUUUCCUUUUUUUAAUUUGAAUAUUGUUAUUUGAUUUUGAAAAUAAGGGAAAAUUUGCGUUGUUGUCAAAAACGAAUAAGGGAAAUUUUGCAACUAUUAUUUAUUUACAUUCCUACUAAGAAUGCCACCGUACAUAAACGUGAUUGCCGGAGUCAACUAUCAGGGAAAAAGGCCGUGGGGACACGUGUUUUAGAUCCACGCUAAAGGGUGGCCUCGUGCUUAGAUCCCUUCAUUUUUUUCGAUAAAUAAUUUUGACACAGCCCAGUUGGACUUGGGUAAAAGGACAGUAGUGCCCUUGCAGUUUGUUUUCUGACAUGAUGUAAAAGGACAGUAAUACUUUUAGAGAAUAUAAAUAGUUUGUUUUGCAUACACGAAUAUUAUGAGUUUCAACUGAACGGAUUUUAUGAGGACCGUCGCUGUCGAUAACUAUACAUGAUGGUCAACCGAGCAGAUUUUAUGAGGACCGUCGCUGUCGGUAACCAUACAUGAUGAUCAGAAAUUGAACUAAUUAAGAAAGUUGCUUUUUUUAUAUAUUAAAGUGAUCAAAAUUUUUUGAAGAUCUCAGUUCUACAAUUUCUAUAAAUUUUAUCAAUUAUAAUAAAACCCCAAAUUUACCAAAUUUAAAUGCAGAUUUAAAUACAUAAAAUCCUUCCACCAAAUCACUUUUAGUUCGUAGAAAAAUAUGAAUUUAAGCUUAUCUUAAUAACAAUUAUACUACCGGAAUCGUAAAAUUCAACCGGAAAAUUUAAAAACAAUAAAAUUUGAAUUUCUUAGUCCCAAAAAUAGGAACUCGGUCGAUCAAAUGGUGACUGGAUAUAGACUUCCCGUAACCGGAGGAGUAUUUCGCCGUUUUAUUCUUGUUAAACGAUCGACUUCCGGAGUUUGAUUGGAGAAACAGAGGCAGUAAAUCGACCUCUAUCGUAAGAGGCAAACAAAGGAGGAGAGGAAGAAGAAAGUAGAAUUUUUUCUUUCAUCUCAAACUAUUUAUAGUCCGAUUUGGUAUGAUUUAAAUUCGAUUCGGUUUGAAUUAUAAAAGUCUUGGUUUCUUCUAUUUUGUUGUAGUAUUAAUUAGAUUAAAUUGAGCAAUAUAUGCUAAUUGACUUUUGCAUACUUUCCUUGAUUGUUAAAAGAUUUUCUAUAUCUAUUGCAAUAAUAAUGAUUUUAACAUAAGGCAUGAUUCUAGGGAUUGAGAUUCAAUGUCUUAAUUAAUAAUUAGCACAUGUAAUUAAUCAAUAUUAAGAUAUUUCAAACCAAGGAGUUGAUAUUUCGAUUAGAAGACCCUCCUUCAGGCCUUGACUUAUGGCUGUUACAUGACGUGAGUGGGGUUUCCCACUAAAGGAGUUGUGUUUAAUUUCCUUCAGAGCUUUGCUCUUUCCCCUUGUAACCAAAAAAAAAAAAAAAAAGAAAAACAUCAAGAUAUUUCAAAUCAUUAAUCAAUAUAAUAAUAAUAAUAAGAAUAAGAAUAGUCAUUUUACCAUCAAAACUAGGUAAUUUUGAUGUAAGGAGUUUAAAUCAAUCCACGAGCAAAACUAUCACUUAUGCUAAUUAUCAUUUAAAUUCUAAUUAUAUUAUAAUUAUAGACAUUCUAAUUAUAAUUAAUAUUAUAAUCAAACUUAAUAUUAUAAUAACUUCUAUUAUAUGAUUAUAACUAUUAUGAUUAUCACUGCCUUUCUAAUAGUGCUAUAAUUAUGAAAUUUAUAAUUAUCAGUAGUGUAUAUUCAAAUCUAUUCAUAAUCUAAAAAUAUUACAUAUUAGUAUAAUUAGAUUAUUCAUUUGUCUAUAAGUUCAUUAGUCCUUUUAGCAUUGUAAUUGUACUUAGCAUUGUAAUACUUAGUAUAUAUAAUGCUUAGAAUUAUCAAAGAUAACUUGGUUUAUUUGGCUAUAAUUAUAAUUAUAAUCAUAAUUAAUAAUUAUACGAGUAUGCAAUAUCGCAAAAUAUAAAUGUAUUUGAUUAUAAAAUAGUAAUAAUUGGAAAUUCUGUGAUUAUAGUAGUAUUAGAACGAUAAUAGUGAUUAUAAUAGGUAGAAUCAUAUAAUAGAAGUUAGUAUUAAGUUUGAUUAUAUAUUAUAAUAAUAAUCAUAAGAAUAAUUAUAAUUAUAGUUAUGCUAGAAUACAAUAUUGUCAGAAUAUGAAUAUGGCUUUUGGCGUUGAGCUUUUUGCUUUUUGGGGUAAAGGAACGCCAGCAUUGGGAAAAGUAACCCAAGAAACAAUUAAAUAUAUUAAGGGCAUUAUAGAAAGUUUCCAUCUACUGCACACACCCUAGGCACAAGUCGUGCCAUUCAGCACUUGCCCCGUUGGUUUUUUUUUUUUUAACUCUUCACACACAUACACAAAUAUGCAUGUGCGCCCACAACGUGGACAUGUGACAUGUAAUGCAUGAUAAAUUAAGACGUCACGUUCAGUCAUUUUAUUCAGCUCUGGCCCAGCUCCCUUUCAAGUUUGAAGCUUACAUUUGGCGCUGGCCCAAUUCCCAUUCAAGUUUGAGGUCCAGAACAUUUCUCUAUACAGAGAUGAGAUCUCUCUCUUUUUUCUUUGUCAAGAAGAAAUUUUCAAAUAACAUUUCGAAAAUAUAAUUUAACGUACUUUAUUAUUAUUAUUAUUAGAAAAAUAGUUAUCUAGGUUCGAAGAGUCUACCUAUACAUUAAACCAAUAAAAAACAAUAUCUUGAUUAUACGCCGGAGGUAUGUAAGUCUAUUUAUUAUUAUUAUUAAUAUUGCUGCUAUCCCGUGUGUCUGAGGCUGCAUUUAGGCAGUGACUUCACCUUUCAUGCAAGGCCUUAUCUUGAUGCCUGUAAUAUUUGUCUCCACCAUAUACUCUGCAUCACAGCAUUCUAUCACACCUGCCUGGAAGAUCCCAACAAACGCUUAAAACCAAAAAUUUUAGAACUAGAUUAAUACAAAUCUUGAUUAGAUUGGGCUCUCUUUCAUAAAAUAAAAACUUCUGCUUACCGUCUUUCCGGUCAUCGCAGGAGAAAGAACUUGAAUUUUGUCGAUAAAAUCAGCAGAAUGGUUUCCAGUAACCAAACAUGUUUGCAAAUUACGAGGUGAAGCUCUAACAUAAAUUGUCAAAAUCUGAUUACCUGAAGUAGAAUACUCUAUAGAGUCAAAGAAAAAUAGAUGAGGAGUUUCACAUGGAUCGUUGUUGAGUACUGGCCCAGUAUUGAACAUAUAAAAUGGCGGCUUAGCAUCCUUCGAAAAUGGCCUGAAUGUCUCAAGUGGCUUACGCAGAAUACUUCUGGGGAUUCUUUUCUCAUAUACAUGCAUAGAAUAGCCCCAUGAGACAGAGAAAGACCAGUUGCUUUCUCUCUGGUAGCAGAUGGUUUGUUGCACGAGAUUGAUCAUAAUUUGGAUUUAUAAUGUCCAAGUGGUGGAGAGUUAGAAGAGAAGACUGUGGGUGAGCUGAUAAAAAUCUUGAUAUGUCACCGCGCAUAUCUAUCUGCAGUUAUAAAAGCAAGACACUGUAUCAAAUCAACUCCCAUGUCAGCUAAACAAGAUUGUGCCAUAUGGGCCAAAGAUAAAGGGAGGAAGAAGAAGAAGAAGAAGAAGAAGAAAGAAUAAGAAAAUGAAAAAUUACCUGGUGCAAACCCUUUUCAAUGUUUAAAUCAACUCCCGUGUCAGCUAAACAACAUUGUGCCAUAUGAUCAUUAACAAACAAAUAAGGAUAUCUCUCAAAACAAUCAUCUAACUUACUUGCCAAUUCUUUAACUAAUGGGUAACUCAAAGCAUAGUCAGUUCCUCCAAAUCUCCGGGACUUGGAGCAUAAAGGUUUUAGGCCCUUCUAUUAAAAUUUACUUUCUCGAGGAUAAACUUAUGUUCUCAUCCUUACCGGAUACCACCUCAAUCAAUAUCUUCUUGAUUAUGAAAUUUUAUUAUUAAUAUUUUUUAAUUAAUUACUCUCUCGAUCGUUUAAUUUAUAUUUAAGGGAUUUCCUAUAUGCUAUUAGCCUAUUAGAAGUAUUAAUCUACUAUAGGUGCCACAAGCUUAAAUGUGAAUUAAGAGAUAGAAAAGAAUACUAAAAAUUACUAUAAGUUGACUUUGAAUUGAUCAUUUAAUGCAGAAUAAAUUAAUGGUUGACAAAUUGUAGAGCCUUAUGCUAUAUUGCUAUAAUCCUAGAACUUACAUAUAUUGUUACAGGCACCUGUCGUUUAUAGUUUUUUUUUUUUUUUUUUUUUUUUUUUUUUUUUUUUUUUUUUUUUUUUUUUUUUUUUUUUCUAUUGAAUGAUUUGCCUUCCGUUUCAUUACAUGUCGUUCCAUUCGAAACUAACUGUCGUUUCCUUUGUCAUUAACAGCAAAAUAACCCAUCGUUUCAAAAAUUUGGAAUUAAAUGAAACUGAUGCCUCUGUUUUCUCUGUUUUCUACUCUGUAAUUAGGCAAGAACUUCAUCUUUCACGCAAGGCCUUAUCUUGAUUUCUGUAGUAUUUAUCUCCACCUUGUACUCUACAUCACAGCAUUCUAUUACACCGGCCUGUAAUAUCGAUUCACACAAGCUCAAUCACAACUCUGAAACUGAAAAUUUUAAGCAAAAAGAGAGUAAAGAUUGUAAUUUGAAUAAGAACACUCACUGUCUUGCGAAUUGUCGCAGGAGAAAGAACUUGAAUUCUGGAGAUGGAAUCAGCAGAAUGAUUUCCAGCGAAUGAACAAGCCGGCAAGUUACGAGGCGAAGCUCUAAUAUAACUAGUCAAAAUCCGAUUACCUGAAGCAGUAUACUCUAUAGAAUCAAAGAAAAACACAUGAGGAGCUUGACAUGGAUCGUUGUUGAGAAGACGAGUGUUAAACAUGAAGAAUGGUCGCUUAUCAUUUUUAGCCCAAGGCCUAAAUGUCUCGAGAGGUUUACGCAGAAUGCUUCUCGGGAUUAUAUUUUCGUAUAUGUGAGUAGAAUAGCCCCAUGAGACUGAGAAGGACCAGUUGCUUUCUCUUUGGUAGCAGAUAGUUUGUUGCAGCAGGCGAGAUUGAUCAAAGUUUGCUGCUUUCAUCAAGUGUCUUGCGCUUUCAUAACGAUCCAUGGAGGGAAAGAUUGGAUUUAUAGAAUCGAAAUGGUGGAGAGAAAGAAGAGGUGAUUGAGGGUGAGCUGAUAAAAGGCCUGAUAUGUCAUGAUGAAGAUCUAUCUGCAAAUAUCAGAUAAAUUUAUGCAAAUUAGGCCUUCAAUUAUAGAGAAAGAUGAAGAAAUGUGACUGCUGAUCUUACCUGGUGGAUCCCUUUUUCAAGAUUUAUAGCAACUCCCAUGUCAGCUAAACAAGAUUGUGCCAUAUGAUCACUAACAUAUAAGUAAGGGUAUCUCUCAAUGCAAGCAUCUAAUUUGGCUGCCAAAGCUUUCGCUAAUGGAUAACUCAAAGCAUAACCAGCUCCACCAAAUCCCAUAUCAAAAGAGAAAUCAGCAUUAGACUUCACACAUUCAGAAUUACCUCCAACAUAAACAUACUUAGUAUGAUCAUACUUCCUCAAAACCUCUAAUAAGUUUUCAGUGAAAAACACAGUAUCAUCAUCACACAUGAUGAACCAUCUCAAAUCUUUAUCUCCUACCCUAUACAUAUCUAAAAUCGAACGUACUAUUCGAACUUCAAUUGGGUUUCUAAGUUUUGGGUAGACUCUUAAUUUUGUUAUGUCUUCACUGAUCUUGUAUGGAGGAUAAGUUAAAGGCCAAGGCAAGAAUUCUUGUGUUGGUUCUUUGUCUAAAAAGACAUACCCUCUAGUUACAUUUGGUCUCCACCAUGUCUGUGUAUAAGGAUGUCUGUGUUUCCAUGUCUGCAAAGAACUUACGACCACAAAUCCAAUGUGGCUAAUAUUUGUAAGAGAAAUAUCAGUAAUAAUACUGUUAUUACAUGAUGGGUUUGGCCAUUUGAUUUGAAAGGGGAGAAAUGUAUUUGAAGAUUGGUAAUCAGUUUUGUGGGUAAAGAGGAAUGUGUAGAACAAGAGAAGUGAUAGGCCUAUAAUAAAUAUAGAUUUCCAUAAAAUCCCAAGCGUUAAGUUUUGAAAUAGAUUCAAGUUUUGGGCAUUUGAAGAAGACAUUGUGGAGGAUAGAGCUGAAAUGAAAUGGAAAUGGAUGGUUUAAUAUAUAAGAAAUCAGGUAAUUAACCAUGUGAAUAUUCUUUGAUUUGAAGGUUUUUAGUUGGACCAGUGCAAUUUAAUGAGAUUUUAAUGGAGAGUCCAUAACUUAAGCGAUAAUCUUUAUGGAUGAUCAUGUUUAUGGAGUGCUUGAAAUUUUCACUGCGUUUGGUUUCCUAGAAGCCAUGUGGCUGCCAUUAAUACAAUUUGUAAAUUUUUUUUAUUAAAAAUAAUUUUGUUUGAAAUUUUAAAAAUAUCUGAUUUGGCAUAUCGAAUUAUGUUUAAUUUUCAUGAUUUUAACCUUCAAAUCAAAAUUUGUAGUAGUUUUCAAAUUACAAGCUACAUAAAUUUGUUUGUUUCUCUCUUGUAUAUUUGUGUGUUAAUUGCAAAGUUUUUCCUUACUCCCAAGAAAGUAAACUUAAAUGAAUUUUAAAAUAUUAUUAAGUAUUUUUUUAAAAUAAAAUUAUGUUGUAGUUAUAAAAAAAAAAAUGAUCCUAUUGGAUAUAUUUAACUAGUUUCUUAAAAGUUAAUCUAAAUGACAAAGUGAGAUGACUAUUACAAGAAUAUAUAAGAAUAUAAAAUUCAAGAUUAUUUUAAAUUAUUGAUCAAUGGAAAAACAAUAUUAAAAAUUAUCUCCUGAAAUAAAAUAUAGAUAUACAAGGCAUAGUUGAAUCUUUCGUAUUUGCAAAAGGAAGCAAAGCCCUUAAUUAGCCUUUGCUUUGCAUGGGAAUAAAGGUUUUAUUGACCCGUAUAACACACGGUACCAUUAAUGUGCACUUUCAACUCUAUACAUAUGGUUUGACUCCAUAGUCCCAGUCAAAUUCAGAAAAUAGUUUUUUUUUUUUCUUUUUUUAAAUCAUCAAAACCUUUUCUUUUAUUAAUAAAACCAAGCUUCUAACCCUAAUUCUAACGGCCUCCCAUGCACCAGAACCUAUCUCCCCAAUGCUAAGUGAAAAAACCCAGCACUUAAAUCACAACAAUCAAUUCAUUUAACAAGUAAUAUUAAAAUUUUGCAAUUUGCAAAAUCUCAAGAAUUGAGUUGUAGUUUUUCCUGAGGGGAAGAGUCUUGCCGGAGAAAACUACAGUAGUAGACGGAAGGAAAUAAAACAACAGGAGUAAAUGAGUGUUUGACUUUGAGGGUUAGAUGUGAUAUUUCUUCCUUCUACCUAUAUUGAAGGACUUGGAGAGAAUCUGCAACUCUUGAGCUUCAAGUACAAAAAAAAAUUUGGGAUUUUAAUCAUACAGUUUUAUUACUGGCUUGCUCUACUUAAAUACACAUGGAGAGAAACACCUCUUACACUUAAUAAGGAAAUUAAUAUUAAAAAGAAACAAUUAGGAAUCACUAAGAACAUGGCAGCACCACACACAGCAGCAUCAACUGUCAGAUUCAGCUUGAAGUUGGUCUCCUUCAUCUCCAAGCGUCCUUCUCUUUCAGCCAGGACUGAACCUCUUGUAAAUCUGCAAAGGCUUGCUAACAGAUUUCAUCAUCAUCUGCAGAUAAUUGUUGACUAAUUUUGCUAAAUUUCAAACUCUUAUGUAUUUCCGCUUCUAUAAUGCAUACUAGCUAGAUUUGCUUGAAAAAUUAAACUAAAUAUUAUUAUUUAUCACAGGGCCAUCGAAAGAUUGGGUCUUUCUAAGGUUCCAGUGAAGGCCCUCGUGAAUGCUGCGCAAGAAGUCAUUGGUGGAAUCAACUUGGCAUGCUGUAGGCACAGGCCAAGGCGCCAUGCUGCACACAAGUGCAUCGCCGGCUGCUAACUGUUUCCUGUCCUUGCCAUCAAAUGAUACCCAAGCAGAGCUUCUACUGUUGAAAGGAACUUGUACCCUUACUGUUACAUGUUCAGGUAAUAUCAGAGGCCGAAAAGACAAUGAAUGUGGACAAAUUGGUGUAAAGAGGAUGCCUGGAACCUGCAAUUACAGAAUAUAACAUUUAUAAGGUUUUACUAACAUAAAACGAAAACCAACAUAAAAUAUGAUCUAAUUUAGAUAGGUAAAUCAAGCUUCUUUAAAAGUGAAUUAAUAGUUGUGGGGCCGUGGCUGCACAUUCUAGUCUGACACAUCAAAGAAUGGGAGGGUCAACAGGAUAUUUAAAGAAAAUAUUGUAUUGUAAUGUACCUGUGGAUGGACCAUCGAUCCUCCAGCUGCCAAUGAAUAAGCAGUGCUACCCGAUGUUGUUGAUAAAAUUAACCCAUCACCUUGCACACAUGUGACAAAGGAGUUGUCACAAUAGCAUUCCAAAUUUGUGAGGUAGGAUGAUAUUCCACGGUCAAUCGUAACCUCAUUCAGAACAAGUAUAGGCUCGUCAGUUUCAACCUCAUUUGUUGCUGCAUCUCUAAUGACAUGGCAUUGUAAACGAUGUCGCAAUGUUAUAUUAAUUGGACCCCUAAGAAUUGAAUCAAGGCAAUCUCUGUAAUGUUCACUAUCUAAAAAAUGUUAAAGGAUACUUUUUGAGUUCAGACAAAGAGAAGGUAAUAAAUAUUUAAAGCAAUUGUAACUCCUGCAAAAGAGAAGCCAGUAUUAGCAAUGGAGAAUUUCUUUUCCACUUGAGGAAUUAAACUUCUUUGGAAAAUAUUAAGGAUACGAAACGGUGUCAUAAAGCCAAGAGAACCUAGAGAAAACGGAACAAUGGGAGGAACUGGUCCUUUGAACAUAGAUGCUGCCUGCAAGUAAAAAAAGGCAGAUAGUAACUUCUCCAAAGGCAGAUGAAAGGAAGAGAAGCACAAAAUAAAAAUAAGGCAGAUGUGGAUCAAACUGAAAGAACAUACCCAAAGAACAGUACCAUCCCCACCAAGAGUAACUACAAGAUCAACUUUUUUGUGCAGUAGAGAAAUUUCCUUGUCUGCGAACGAGUUCAUACAUAGUGAAAUAUCCAUAAAUAAAAAAGCAAAAUAUUGUGUCCCACAAAUUUGAGUUCAAACAGUGUUUAUAUUAGCAGUAGUGAAAUUCACUUGGUUAAAUCAAUGAUUCGCUAUAAGAUUGUGUAGCAAUUUACCAUCUUUCCAUGUUUUCACAAAGUUGAAGUAAGACGAUUCUGUCAGAAGUUCACCCCUCACACGUGGUUCCACGUAAAUGUUUAACUUUUUAUUUUCUUCCAACCAUCUGGUAAUGGAAAUUGAAAAAUUAGGCACAGAAAAUUUUUUGCUUAAUUGCACAAGCAUUUGUAGAUAAGAACUAUUAAUAUCAAACUACGAGCUCUGGAACAAUUUAGAUAUUCUUUUCAGAUAAAGAAAUGAAAAUAAUGCAACACGAGAAACCACAAUUAAAACUCUUUUCUAUAGAAUAUUUUCCAAAGCAUUGAGGAACUUCAUCGUGAAAUGUACAUUAUUAACAGAUACAUGUUCAUGGUCAGUAAAAUCAUUUACAAAUACCUACACAAUAAUGAAAGCAACUAAAUUGAGAAACUCAUUUCAGAAUUGAAAAAUGUAAAACAAAAAAAAAAAAAAAAAAGUCUCCUUCAUCUCCAAGCGUCCUUCUCUUUCAGCCAGGACUGAACCUCUUGUAAAUCUGCAAAGGCUUGCUAACAGAUUUCAUCAUCAUCUGCAGAUAAUUGUUGACUAAUUUUGCUAAAUUUCAAACUCUUAUGUAUUUCCGCUUCUAUAAUGCAUACUAGCUAGAUUUGCUUGAAAAAUUAAACUAAAUAUUAUUAUUUAUCACAGGGCCAUCGAAAGAUUGGGUCUUUCUAAGGUUCCAGUGAAGGCCCUCGUGAAUGCUGCGCAAGAAGUCAUUGGUGGAAUCAACUUGGCAUGCUGUAGGCACAGGCCAAGGCGCCAUGCUGCACACAAGUGCAUCGCCGGCUGCUAACUGUUUCCUGUCCUUGCCAUCAAAUGAUACCCAAGCAGAGCUUCUACUGUUGAAAGGAACUUGUACCCUUACUGUUACAUGUUCAGGUAAUAUCAGAGGCCGAAAAGACAAUGAAUGUGGACAAAUUGGUGUAAAGAGGAUGCCUGGAACCUGCAAUUACAGAAUAUAACAUUUAUAAGGUUUUACUAACAUAAAACGAAAACCAACAUAAAAUAUGAUCUAAUUUAGAUAGGUAAAUCAAGCUUCUUUAAAAGUGAAUUAAUAGUUGUGGGGCCGUGGCUGCACAUUCUAGUCUGACACAUCAAAGAAUGGGAGGGUCAACAGGAUAUUUAAAGAAAAUAUUGUAUUGUAAUGUACCUGUGGAUGGACCAUCGAUCCUCCAGCUGCCAAUGAAUAAGCAGUGCUACCCGAUGUUGUUGAUAAAAUUAACCCAUCACCUUGCACACAUGUGACAAAGGAGUUGUCACAAUAGCAUUCCAAAUUUGUGAGGUAGGAUGAUAUUCCACGGUCAAUCGUAACCUCAUUCAGAACAAGUAUAGGCUCGUCAGUUUCAACCUCAUUUGUUGCUGCAUCUCUAAUGACAUGGCAUUGUAAACGAUGUCGCAAUGUUAUAUUAAUUGGACCCCUAAGAAUUGAAUCAAGGCAAUCUCUGUAAUGUUCACUAUCUAAAAAAUGUUAAAGGAUACUUUUUGAGUUCAGACAAAGAGAAGGUAAUAAAUAUUUAAAGCAAUUGUAACUCCUGCAAAAGAGAAGCCAGUAUUAGCAAUGGAGAAUUUCUUUUCCACUUGAGGAAUUAAACUUCUUUGGAAAAUAUUAAGGAUACGAAACGGUGUCAUAAAGCCAAGAGAACCUAGAGAAAACGGAACAAUGGGAGGAACUGGUCCUUUGAACAUAGAUGCUGCCUGCAAGUAAAAAAAGGCAGAUAGUAACUUCUCCAAAGGCAGAUGAAAGGAAGAGAAGCACAAAAUAAAAAUAAGGCAGAUGUGGAUCAAACUGAAAGAACAUACCCAAAGAACAGUACCAUCCCCACCAAGAGUAACUACAAGAUCAACUUUUUUGUGCAGUAGAGAAAUUUCCUUGUCUGCGAACGAGUUCAUACAUAGUGAAAUAUCCAUAAAUAAAAAAGCAAAAUAUUGUGUCCCACAAAUUUGAGUUCAAACAGUGUUUAUAUUAGCAGUAGUGAAAUUCACUUGGUUAAAUCAAUGAUUCGCUAUAAGAUUGUGUAGCAAUUUACCAUCUUUCCAUGUUUUCACAAAGUUGAAGUAAGACGAUUCUGUCAGAAGUUCACCCCUCACACGUGGUUCCACGUAAAUGUUUAACUUUUUAUUUUCUUCCAACCAUCUGGUAAUGGAAAUUGAAAAAUUAGGCACAGAAAAUUUUUUGCUUAAUUGCACAAGCAUUUGUAGAUAAGAACUAUUAAUAUCAAACUACGAGCUCUGGAACAAUUUAGAUAUUCUUUUCAGAUAAAGAAAUGAAAAUAAUGCAACACGAGAAACCACAAUUAAAACUCUUUUCUAUAGAAUAUUUUCCAAAGCAUUGAGGAACUUCAUCGUGAAAUGUACAUUAUUAACAGAUACAUGUUCAUGGUCAGUAAAAUCAUUUACAAAUACCUACACAAUAAUGAAAGCAACUAAAUUGAGAAACUCAUUUCAGAAUUGAAAAAUGUAAAACAAAAAAAAAAAAAAAACAAUCAUAUUAUGCAAACCUCAGCAUAGCUGAACAUAAAAUUCGAACAGAAAUUGAAUUUGGUUUGGUGAAGAUAAGCACAGUCUGCGGUUUAGAUUCCCACUUCAAAGAAAUCUGGAGCAACGAAAAAAGGAGUAUUUGGUAAGACACAUACAAGGGAACUGAUUCCUAAUAGAAGCAUCAAAGUUCUCCACAGGAAAUACGAAAUAAGUCAGAUAUAGUUAGUUAUGUGCACGUAUAAUACCAUAACAGUAUGACUAGAACUAGAUACAAAACUUCACAUGUAGCCUUGCAGAAGCAAUACCUGUUUACUGUGGCGCUCUGCAGUUGUUAUAUUUCCUCUUGCAAAAGAUACAACUUCAUGUUUGUGCUGAUCACUAUCUUCACCUUUGCUGCACCAUGAAAGUUUAAAAGAAGCCUGUUUCACAAUGCAAAAUGGGAGAAAAUUAAACAUUAUGGUUAAUUGUCACGACUUGAAAAGUUCUCAAUUCAUUACUACAACUCAUAAGGAACGAUAUUGCCAGAAUUUCUUGUCAAUUUUUGAGGAUGUAUGUAUAUAAUCACUAAAACAAAUUAGAAAUAGCAUUAUAGAUAACAAUAACAACAAAAGCAGUAAAGAAAAGCUCUCCAAAAAUGUGCUGUAGGUCCUAAGUAGGACAUGAGUAACCUUAAGAAAUGUCAAUAAUAUUACCAAGACUAGUGGGUUACCAUCCAAACAUGUAAUGUUGUGAACCUAGAAAAAUUAGACAACAUGCAAUUAAACUAUAAGCAUCAUAUAUAAAGUAGCUUGCCAACAAAGAUGCACAUCUGAAAAAUUUACCUUUCUCAUAAUCCUACUCUUAACCAUCAUGGGAUCAGAGUCAGUCUCUCCAUCUUGAAGAACUUCAUGAGAGCAAAUCCCAUUGGUACAACAAUCUUCAGAUUGUCCAUUUGUGCCAUUACUCGAAACUAACAGGUUUUUUGAGUUCAAUGUCCUCUCUUUGUUACAAUCACCAUUGCACUCCCUGGGUAAAUGUUCUGCAGCACAAGCCAUCAAAUUCCUACUUAAAAAGGGGUGCAAAACAGAUUGAAAAAUUCGAAGAACGUGAAAAUGUCAAUGCACACAGAAAGAAGAGAUUCAAAAUGAUCAGCUUAAGAUGCAUAGGAACCAAAAAAGUUCGGGACUGUAAAAGACUUCAUUGGUUUUCAGUUGAUUUAACAAAAUGAGACCUCUUUCCCAACCAAAGCUGCUAUCAAGCUUCAUAAGCAGAAGUGGAAGAGUUUACCGAAGAGACUACCACCAUUUUGAAAGAACUAGACUUCCCUUCUUUCCUGUCUUUGUUAUGGAAUAUUAUGGUAAUCUGACGAGGGUACGGUUUAUUGGCUAAGAGUAUAUCUCUACAAAGCUGUAGGACUCAAAUUUCCUCCAUCUGUUUGAAAUUAAAAACUGUUGUACCAAUGCCCAGACAUUCAUAUCCAACAAAAAUAUUCAGGAAAAAGAAACUAACAACAAUGGAAAAAGGCCUUCUUGAAGAGGUUACAUCUUGAAAGGAUCUCAGAAUCCCAUGGGUUCCUUCUCAACUGCUGAUGACAAGAACUCUAAUAGUGCCAGGUAAUUCUUGUGAAAGGUGUGCUGUUCUCCAAUCUUCAGCUACAUUAUCAGCAACCAAGUAUCCUUAAGGAAGCAUGACGUGAAAUUUACACCACCAAUACAAUUCCUCCCCCGCAACUUUUACAGAAUUUCACUUCAAUCAAACUUAUCCUAGAAGCUUAAAUUCAUAAUCAGUCAUGGACCAAGCAAAAUCCCAUUAAAAUUUGUAGAAACAGCGGAGGUAUGUCCUAAAACUAAAGAGGGAAAAGGAAACGAGGAAGGUAUCUGGUAGCAUUUUUAUCCUAGUGACAUAUCCUCAAGCAGGUAUCCUAUUCUACAAUCACAAACCUCCAGCAGCUUCUUGGGGUUCAGAACCUCAAAUAGCAAAGAAGGGAACUAUUUUGCCAAUCAAACACACUAGAUAAUCUCCUGCUCAGCUCAUAUACUAGACUUCCAUCUCAAAAUUCUCUACUUCAAUCCACUAAGAGGUCCCAGAUCGUACCAUCAGACAAGUUAUGGACAGCCUAGAAAUUGCCUUAGACCUCAUAUUCCACCUUCAGAAUCUUUAAUAACUAAACAUAUCAAAGUUACCCGGAUUCCCAUAGUCCUAUAAUAACCAAUAAGUGGCACAUACUCCAAGGGUUUCAGUAUUUUUAACUCCAAAACAAUUGACUCUGAUGCUAAAAGAAACCGCAUCUUUUGAAAAAAGAAAUGCACUUCUUUAUUCAAGGACAAAUAUAACUAGCAAUUCUACGUGAGUAAAAGCAGGUACCUUCAAAGACUCUCCUAUUCUGUUCUUCCCAGACUUCCCAGCAAACAACGCAUAUGGGAGCAUUAAUUUUAUGAUUCCCAUUGCAUUACACAUAGAAAUCUGAGUCCACCAACUUCGAAGCAUUUCAGAUAUAUUUUUCCCUGAUAGUGGAAUAGCCAUAAUCUGAUGAUACUGAGUCUGAAUUCAAUUAGUAAGCUUACCAAGCCAAACUUUCAAUCGUUCACUACUUAAAUGAGUGAAAAAAAACUAAAAUCAAAAUCCAAUAGCAUAAUACAUUCUUAGAUUAGGAAACGUUUUCCAGUAUCUCCGUUUUGUUUUUCACAAGGUGCAGAAAUUUAGCAGCCAAAAAGUAAAUAAAAAGUGACAAUCAUAUCUGCCAAAUGACGGAGAGCAAAGCAAGGAGCAAAGGAGACAGUAUUGAAGAAAAUAUGUUCAAUGCCCCUAAAUUUAAGAGCAUGCCAAAAUUAAAUGAGAGAUCAAAAUUUUCAUUUUCCUAGUGAAGAUUCUAAAAAUCUCAUGCCUUGUUCUGUUGGUGUUCAGGGUUAAUAUAGAACAUUACAUGAUUUCAAAUCAUGCACUGGAUUCUAUUCUGAAACAUAUAUCUUUCAAAAAAAGGUCAGCCUUCAAUAUCGGGUCCUGUGCUAGGUCAACCAGGCCAGAUCAUGAGCGAAUAGAAAAAUGUUCAACACAUGACUCCUAGACUUAUUCAUGAAAACUUGUUUUCAACAUAAUUGUAGGCAAUGAAUAAGAUACCUACUGCAUGAAAACUAAUAUGCCAUUUAUGCAUGUUUAUUUAACUAUUAGAAACCUUUACGCUGCAGCCGCUGAUUUCUUUCCCUCUCCAAUUCAUAUCUACGCUUCCAUUCAGCAGCCUCAGCUUGAGCAAAAGCUUUUCCUUCAGCCACUCGUCUCAAUGUCUUUGCAACAGCUAAUGUGUAAAAUGGCAUGUCAGAUUCAUAACUGUGGCAUAUAGUUUCAGUAAAGGAAUGUGUAUGUUCAAAAAACAAAUUUGACUAUACUUCUUAGUGCCUCUGAGAACUCUAUAAGAUGUUCAUCAGUUCCCUGAAUAGGAGUCUGUUGAAGAAGCUCCUGCACUUCCUUCUCAGAAAGUGAAUUAUCUAGCUGUGAACAUGAAAAACUCACAUCUCCAUUUCCAUUCUGUGCUGCCUUCUCAGAAUGUAAGAUAGGAAGUGAAUUAUUUAACUGUGAACAAGAAAAACUCACAUC
Molecule: long non-coding RNA, 47489 nt
Filed under: Jatropha curcas
Lineage: Eukaryota; Viridiplantae; Streptophyta; Magnoliopsida; Malpighiales; Euphorbiaceae
Description: long non-coding RNA (JCUR_LNC003213)
Source: RNAcentral